This 55488-nucleotide long non-coding RNA is filed under the name Zea mays. RNAcentral's name for it is "long non-coding RNA (ZMAY_LNC004495)". The record is from RNAcentral. Lineage: Eukaryota; Viridiplantae; Streptophyta; Magnoliopsida; Poales; Poaceae.
UCCGCUGCUGCCGCUCCUUGGCCGCCUCCAUCGCCGUAUGUACCCUUGGCUUGAUUCGCUGCUCGCGGUUGUUCCCUCCCUUUCUCGUGGACUUUUACUGUUAAUAGCUAGUAGGCGCGCUUGCCCGAUGUUCUGUGAUCCGACACGACGUGAUCGCGCCUUCAUUUAUAAAGGGUCGUCACGUGACGUGAGUAAGGAUAGAGCCGGGCGCUAUGGCCAGCUCGCCGGUUCAGGCAGCGGCGUGGCGGGCAGAGAAGUGCCCUCCUUGCACACGUGCCAAACAAAGCCACAAAGGAUGGGAACACGAAUCGCUCGUUCUCAUAGGUUAUUUUUCAGUGGUUUUUUUUAUUAAAUACUCCACCAUAUAAGCGAGUAUAGUGACGUAACAAUAAUUUAAUUAAAAAAGAUAGUAAGAGUUUCAUACUGUCCGGUACCAUAAUUAGGGGUACCCCCAACGCUCCUAAUCACGGCUGGUUAACACCCUCAGACCAACUGACGGGUGCGGUUUCAAGCCAAGACUUCGUCUACUCGAAGGACGCGAUCUUACCCGAGUCCAGCCUCGGGUAGGAACAGCGGUUCCAGACGAAUUCACGCCUCGCCCGAGGGCCUCCUCAGGCGGCAGGCGCCCCCUCGGCUCUCCCGAGGCCCGGCUCGGGCAGGCUUCGUCGAGAAACAACCUUGGCCAUACCGCCUCACCAACCGACCGCUUCGUAGGCGCAUUAAAUGCGGGGGAUGUCUGACGCCGUAUCCUGAUACACGCGCCUCAGUCGAUCAGGCCGAAGUGACCGCAGUCACUUCGCCCCUCCUCUUUUCUGUCCGAUAUGACAGGAAAACAGCGUCGUCCGCUCCGCUCCGACUGCUGUGUCAGCCACCCCAGCAACGACUGACAACAAGUCACGAUCAACCACCAAGCUCAAGCCUCGGGCGCAACAGGAAGCUCCGCCUCGCCCGACCUCAGGCUCCGGCCUCGGGAGGAGGUCUCCGCCUCGCCCGACCCCUGAGCUCGGCCUCGACUCCGGUCUCGGGAGGAAUCACAUCCUCGCCCGACCCCGGCCUCGACCACAAGCGAAGUCUCCGCCUCGACCGAUCCCGGGCUCGGACUGACCGUGCUGAUAGGGAUGCAUCAUUCCCCUACUCCUAGCCUGCUCAGGCUACAAGGAACAAGACCGGCGUCCCAUCUGAUUUACCCCGGCGACGGGUAAUGAUGGUGCCCCGCGUGCGCCAUGACGCCGGUGGCUCUCAGCCCCUUACGACAGCAAGGAGACGUGAGCAGGGUCCUCGCCGCGCUACCAGCUGUGCUCCUACAGGACUCAAGCGCUCCUCCGGCGGCCACGCCAUCACAUGUACAGCGCCCAAGCUCUCCCCCGACAGCCACGUUGGCAUGUACACAGGGCUUAGGCACUCCACUGCCGGACACGUUAGCGCAUAGCUACGCCCCCCGUUGUACACCUGGACUCUCUCCUUGCCUCUAUAAAGGGGAGUCCAGGGCCACCCUGAAAGAGGUUCGGGGGGUUCGCGCGAGGGGAAGCGGCGUACGAGCCCACUCUCUCUCUCUCCCUCACGCGACGCGCUUGUAACCCCUACUGCGAGCGGCACCCCUGGUGCAGGAUAAUACAAGGCUUGUUCCACAUCUUGUGUUCCAUCCCGCGCCAACCCAUCUGGGUAGGGACACGCAGUGACAAUUCACUCGUCGGUCCAGGGACCCCCCGGGGUCGAAACGCCGACAGUUGGCGCGCCAGGUAGGGGCCUGCUGCGUGUUAACGAACACCUUCCCGUUGAGAUCCAGAUGGGGAGUCUUCAGCAACCUCUCCAGCCCGGGACGGUGCUCCGCUUCGGGAGUCUUGAGUUCAUGUCCCUCGACGGCAGCUACGACAUGGUACUCCUUCCCCCGCGGCGUGACGAUAACGACGGUCUUCGACUCGCACGAUGACGACGAGCUCUACGACAACAUCUCCCCGCGGCAAAAGAGGAGCGCUCCGGUCGUCCCCGCCACCCUCCCCGUCGGAGGAGGCGGAGACGGGGCAACCAUGGCCACGUAGGAGGCGACACCUUGUCGGCUGUCGCACCAGAGCGAGUCGACGGCGCCGGCAUUCCCCCACGGGACAUGUCGGACAUUGCCCUCGCACCUGAGGCGACGGCAGGUGUCACUUCCCCACGACGUGUCAGCCCCAAGCGGACUGAUGACGCCAGCACCCUCACGAAGGACCUGCUGGGCGUUACCCUCGUACAUGAGUUGACAGUGUGCACCGUCCCCGACGCGACUUCACCACCGUCCAACGACCAAGAGGUACCAUUCGUUUUCCAUCCCAUACCUUUUUGGUUCAGCUUCGAUCCACCUAGCGACCCCGCAAUGGUGAGCGCCUUCAUAAAGGCGUAUCCAAACCUUCCGGGGUACCACAUGUGGUCGACCUGGGACCGACUGACAGCCGUCUCGACCUUCGGACCGGCGGGUUCUGAGGAGGAGGACAUCUCCGACUCCGGUUGGGAUUUCUCUGCCCUCAAUGACCCUGGUGCCAUGCGGAGCUUCAUGUCCGCAUGCGACCACUACCUCUCCGGUUGUUCUGACGAUGGCCAUGACCUUGACGACGAAGGUUACGGCCCAAGUCGCGAAUGCUUCCACGUCGAUCUGGGGGAUCACAACGAAGGCAACCACCUCGGUAUGCUAGAGGUUGACGAUCCCCCUGGGCCAUCAUCUCGCGUUGACAUCCUGCGGGAGCUAGCUAUCGUCCCAGUCCCUGCGGGGGGUCAGGACAUACAGCUCGAGCAAAUCCGUGAGAUGCAGGCCCGGGUCGACGGGGAAGCAGACCAACUUGUGCAGCUCCGACAGAGCAUCGAACAGGAGUGGGCAGGCCGAUCACUCGCCGGAGAAGCCUGUCACCGGGCCCAAGACAUCUGGCACCGCAUCGUCGACAAUGCUAGGACAGCGCUGCCUCAGGCCGUCAGCGGGUCCGGCCAGGACCUAGCUGCAGCGGCGAUGCUGCUUCGGGCCAUGCUGGAGCCAUCCACCACCGAGGGACGACGCAUCUAGGGCGAACUCAAGAAUCUUCUAGAGGGCGCCGUGGUUCGACGAGCCGAAAGCUCCGCCUCCCGUAGGCGAGCUGACCCCUCGGAGCAUCGUGCGGUGUCCUCCUGGCGCAUUCGGGAAGCCUCGGUCUGUCCCGAGCGUACACAGGAUGAGGCGCCCAUCACCCGGGAACGCCUCGGCAACGAGCACCACCAUCUCGACCAUCGAGCCCGCCUCGACGAGAAGGUGUACCGAGGCUACCAUCCCAGGCGCGGGGGACGCUGCAACAGCGAGGAGGACCACAGUCCUUCGCUCGAACCACCCGGCCCGCGAGCCUUCAGCCGGGCCAUACGACGAGCACCGUUCCCUGCCCGUUUCCGAGCCCUGACUACUAUCACCAAGCACUCGGGGGAGACGAGGCCAGAGCUGUGGCUCGCGGACUACCGACUGGCCUGCCAGUUAGGAGGGGCGGAUGAUGACAACCACAUCAUCCGUAAUCUACCCCUUUUCCUCUCCAAUGCCGCCCGAGCCUGGCUGGAGCAUCUGCCUCCUGCGCAGAUCUCCGACUGGGACGAUCUGGUCAAAGCUUUCGCGGGGAACUUCCAAGGCACGUAUGUGCGCCCUGGGAACUCGUGGGACCCCCGAAGCUGCCGCCAGCAGCCCGGGGAGUCCCUCUGAGAGUACAUCCGGUGGUUUUCGAAGCAGCGCACCGAGCUGCCCAACGUCACUGACUCGGAUGUCAUCGGGGCUUUCCUUGCCGGCACCACUUGCCGGGACCUGGUGAGCAAACUGGGGCGCAAGACCCCCACCCGCGCGAGCGAACUGAUGGACGUCACCACCAAGUUCGCCUCGUGUCAAGAGGCGGUCGAAGCCAUCUUCCGGAAGGACAAGCAGCCUCAGGUCGAACCGAAGACAGAUGCCUCUGAGGUGUUCGCCCAGCGGGGCACGAAGAAGAAGGCCAAAAACAAGUCGCGAGCGAAGCGCGACGCCGCAGACGCGAAUCUAGUCGCUGCGGCCGAGCACAGGAACCCUCGGAAGCCACCUAGAGGGACCGGCGCGUUCGACAAGAUGCUCAAAGAGCCGUGCCCCUAUCACCAGGGGCCCGUCAAGCACACCCUCGAAGAAUGUAUCAUGCUCCGACGCCACUUCCAUAAGACCGGGCCCCCGGCGGAGGAUGGCAGGGGCCAUGACAACGACAAGAAGGAGGGCGACAAGGAAGAGGGAUUCCCGGAAGUCCAUAACUGCUUCAUGAUCUACGGCGGGCAGGUGGCGAAUGCCUCGGCUCGGCACCACAAGCAGGAGCGCCGGGAGGUCUGCUUGGUGAAGGUGGCGGCGCCAGUCUACCUAGACUGGCUCGACAAGCCAAUCACCUUCGACCAAGGCGACCACCUCGACUUCGUGCCGGGCCCGAGAAGGUAUCCGCUCGUCGUCGAUCCGAUCAUCGGCAACGUUAGGCUCUCCAAGGUCCUCAUGGACGGAGGCAGCAGCCUUAACAUCAUCUACGCCGAGACCCUAGAACUCUUAGGGGUUGAUCGAUCCGAAGUCCGGGCCGGUGCGGCACCCUUCCAUGGGAUUGCGCCCGGGAAGCGAAUCCAACCCCUCGGAUGAAUCGAUUUACCCGUCUGCUUCGGAACUCCUUCAAACUUCCGAAGGGAAGCUCUCACCGUUGAGGUCGUCGGGUUCUGAGGAACCUACCAUGCGGUGUUGGGAAGGCCAUGCUAUGCCAAGUUUAUGGCCGUCCCCAACUACACCUACCUCAAGCUCAAGAUGCCGGGCCCGAAUGGGAUCAUCACUAUCGGGUCCACGUACCGCCACGCGUACGAAUGCGACAUGGAGUGCGUGGAGUACGCCGAGGCUCUCGCCGAGUCCGAGGCCCUCAUCGCCGACCUUGAACGCCUCUCCAAGGAGGCGCCCGACGCGAAGCGGCACGCCGGCAACUUCGAACCGGUUGAGGCGGUCAAGUCCGUCUCUCUCGAUCCCAGCAACGACGCCAGCAAGCAAGUUCGGAUCGGCUCCGAGCUCGACCCCAAACAGGAAGCAGUGCUCGUCGACUUUCUCCGCGCAAACGCCGAAGUCUUUGCGUGGAGUCCCUCGGACAUGCCAGGCAUACCGAGGGAUGUCGCCGAGCACUCACUGGAUAUCAGAGCUGGAGCCCGACCCGUGAAGCAAACCCUGCGCCAUUUCGACGAGGAGAAGCGCAGGGCCAUAGGCGAAGAGAUCCACAAGCUACUCGCGGCAGGGUUCAUCAAAGAGGUAUUCCAUCCCGAAUGGUUAGCUAACCCUGUUCUUGUAAGGAAGAAGGAUGGGAAAUUAAGGAUGUGUGUAGACUACACUGGUCUAAACAAAGCAUGUCCGAAAGUUCCCUACCCUCUACCUCGCAUCGAUCAAAUCGUGGACUCCACAGCUGGGUGCGAAACCCUGUCAUUCCUCGAUGCCUACUCAGGCUAUCACCAAAUCAAGAUGAAAGAGUCCGACCAGUUCGCGACUUCUUUCAUCACACCUUUUGGCAUGUACUGUUACACCACAAUGCCAUUCGGGUUGAGGAAUGCAGGCGCCACUUACCAGAGGUGCAUGAACCACGUGUUUGGAGGACACAUCGGCAGAACGGUCGAGGCUUACGUCGACGACAUCGUUGUCAAGACGAAGAGAGCCUCCGACAUCCUCUCCGACCUUGAAAUGACAUUCAAGUGUCUGAGAGCGAAAGGCAUGAAACUCAAUCCUGAGAAGUGUGUCUUCGGAGUCCCCCGAGGCAUGCUCCUUGGGUUCAUCGUCACCGAGCGGAGCAUCGAGGCCAACCCAGAGAAAAUCAUGGCCAUCACCAGCAUGGGACCGAUCAAAGAUUUGAAAGGAGUACAGAGGGUCAUGGGAUGCCUUGCGGCUCUAAGCCGCUUCAUCUCAUGCCUCGGCGAGAAAGGCUUGCCUCUGUACUGCCUCUUAAGGAAGGCCGAGUGCUUCACUUGGACCCCCAAGGCCGAGGAAGCUCUCGAAAACCUUAAGGCGCUCCUUACGAAAACACCCAUCCUGGUGCCUCCCGCCACAGGAGAAGCCCUCUUGAUCUACGUAGCCGCGACUACUCAGGUGGUCAGCGCCGCGAUCAUAGUCAAGAGACGAGAAGAAGGGCAUGCACUGCCCAUCCAGAGGCCGGUCUACUUCAUCAGUGAAGUACUUUCCGAGACCAAAGCUCGCUACCCACAGAUCCAGAAGCUGCUCUACGCAGUGGUCCUGACACGACGAAAGUUGCGGCACUACUUCGAGUCUCAUCCGGUAACUGUGGUGUCAUCCUUCCCCCUGGGGGAGAUCAUCCAGUGCCGUGAGGCCACGGGUAGGAUAGCAAAGUGGGCGGUGGAGCUUAUGGGCAAAACACUAUCAUUCGCUCCUCGGAAGGCCAUAAAAUCCCAGGUCUUGGCAGACUUCCUGGCUGAGUGGACCAACACCCAGUUACCGAUAACUCCGAUCUAGCCCGAGCUCUGGACCAUGUACUUCGAUGGGUCACUCAUGAAAACAGGAGCGGGCGCUGGCCUGCUCUUCGUUUCACCCCUUGGAAAGCAUCUCCGCUACGUCAUUCGCCUCCAUUUUCUGGCGUCAAACAAUGUGGCCGAGUACGAAGCACUGGUUAAUGGGCUACGCAUCGCUGUCGAGCUAGGGGUCCGAUGCCUCGACGCUCGAGGCGACUCGCAGCUUGUCAUUGACCAAAUCAUGAAGAACUCCCACUACCGUGACCGGAGGAUGGAAGCCUACUGCGACGAAGUCCGGCGCCUAGAGAACAAGUUCUACGGGCUGGAGCUCAACCACGUCGCCCGACGGUACAACGAGACUGCGGACGAGCUGGCGAAAAUAGCCUCGGGGCGAACGACAGUUCCCCCCGACGUCUUCUCCAGAGAUCUACAUCAACCAUCCGUCAAGAUCGACGACACGCCCGAGCCUGAGGAAGCCUCGGCCCAGCUCGAGGCACCCUCGGCCAAGCCCGAGGUACCCUCGGCCGCACCCGAGGCACCCUCGGCCAUCGAGGAAGAGGCCUUGCCCGUCGAAGAGGAACAGAGUGGGGUCACGACAGAUCCGAACUGGCAGGCCCCGUACCUAGAAUAUCUCCUCCGAGGAGAGCUUCCCAUCGACAAGACCAAAGCUCGGCGGCUGGCUCGGCGCGCCAAAUCAUUUGUCCUGCUAGGUGAUGAAAAAGAGCUCUACCACCACAGCCCCUCGGGCAUCAUUCAGCGAUGCAUAUCCAUCGCCCAAGGAUAGGAGCUGUUGCAAGAAAUACACUCGGGGGCUUGCGGCCACCAUGCAGCGCCUCGAGCCCUCGUGGGGAAUGCCUUUCGACAAGGUUUCUACUAGCCAACCGCGGUGGCCGACGCCACUAGGAUUGUACGCUCCUGCCGGGGGUGUCAAUUCUACGCAAAGCAGAUGCAUCUGCCCGCUCAGGCCUUGCAGACAAUACCCAUCACCUGGCCAUUUGAUGUGUGGGGUCUGGACCUCGUCGGACCCUUGCAGAAGGCACCCGGGGGCUUCACGCACCUGCUGGUCGCUAUCGACAAAUUCUCCAAGUGGAUCGAGGUCCGACCCCUAAACAGCAUCAGGUCCGAGCAGGCGGUGGCAUUCUUCACCUACAUUAUUCAUCGGUUCGGGGUCCCAAACUCAAUCAUCACCGACAAUGGCACGUAGUCCACCGGAAAAAAGUUCCUGGACUUCUGCGACGACCACCACAUCCGUGUGGACUGGGCCGCCGUAGCCCAUCCCAUGACGAAUGGGCAGGUGGAGCGUGCCAACGGUAUGAUUCUGCAGGGGCUCAAACCAAGGAUCUAUAACGACCUCAACAAGUUCGGCAAGCGAUGGAUGAAAGAGCUACCCUCGGUAGUCUGGAGUCUGAGGACGACGCCGAGCCGCGCCAUGGGUUUUACGCCGUUUUUUCUAGUCUAUGGGGCCGAGGCCGUCCUCCCCACAGACUUAGAAUAUGGCUCCCCGAGGACCAAGGCAUACGACGACCAAAGCAACCAGACUAGCCGAGAAGACGCGCUGGACCAACUCGAGGAGGCUCGAGACGUCGCCUUACUACAUUCGGCGCGGUACCAGCAGUCGCUGCGGCACUACCACGCCCGAAGCGUUCAGGCCCGAGGCUUCUAAGUGGGAGACUUGGUGCUUCGCCUACGACAGGACGCCUGAGGGCGCCACAAGCUCACUCCUCCCUAGGAAGGGCCCUUCAUCAUCGCCAGGAUCUUGAAGCCCGGAACAUACAAGCUGGCCAAUGACCAAGGCGAGGUCUACGACAACACUUGGAACAUCCAACAGCUACGUCGCUUCUACCCUUAAGAUGUUUUAAGUCGUUCAUGUACCUCGUUUACGUACACAAAUUUUGACCGUCAAGGAAGGGUCGGCCUUGCCUCAGCAAAGCCCGACCCUCCCUCGGGGGCUAGAAGGGGGGAACCCCCUGCACGUCAAAAAAUUUUCCUCGGAAAAGUUUUCCACCAAAACGACUUUCGUGUUUCCCGACUAUAUCGGUAACAGAACCCCGCAAAAUGAAUAAGAGCGCGUGUAAGCGGCAAGGCCGACCGAGCCGAGGGACUCCUACGCCUCCGGGAUAUGGAUACCUCACUCGUCACCUUCCGCGAGAAAUAACUCUUACUCGGAUAAGCAGUUCUGCUACUGACGAACGAGUCCAGAUACUCGAAACAAGAGGAAAAGAAAUGCAGCUUUAUAACACGACGACAAAGUGUUUAGGCCUCGGCGGCCGCGAAAGACACAUGCAUGUUCCGAACAAGCUGCCCCGGCAGAAUCAGGCAUCGCCCGGGGGAGGAGUGGCACCCUCGGCUUCGUCUCCACCCUCGGCGAGAUCGUCUCCACCCUUGGCGAGGUCUGCCUCGGCCUUGGACGGCGAUGCAAGUGGAAGGAUCUCCACCUCGAAGGAGGACGCCAGCACUGCGCUUGGGCCCACAACGGUCGUGUCAAGCCUCUGAACUUCGGCCAGGGCGGCUUCAUCUUCGUCGGGUAGACAGUACCCCUCGCUGACCCGCUCCAGAUCCACAUCGUAGUGGGAAUCGAGCACGGCGAAGGCUCGCCUAACGCUGUGAUGCAGCACCUCGCGGAGUCUGCUGCGCACAUGGCCGCCCAAGGCCUGCAGGCGACUCCGGGGGAGCUUCCCGAGGGAACAUCGUCAAGACCAGAGACCUGGCAGAAGGCCGAGAUAGCUUUAGACAUGGCCACGCGGUUGGCUUCCUCCCGCUCAGCUGCCCGGGCAAGUGCCUUGGUGGACUCGUUGAGGGCUGACUCAAACUCUGCGAACAGCCAAAAAGAAUUCUUCAAACACGAGUUGAAGAAUGAAGAUCGAAGUCACAAAGCGGCCAAAACAUACCUUCUGCCCGGACACGCUGCUCCGAGGCUGCGGCUUGGGCGGACUGAGCAGACCCGACGGCCGCGACCACGUCCUCCGCCAGGGCACCAGCCCGAGCGGACACCUCGGCUAGCUGGCCCCCAAGGGCCUCAGCCCGGCUUUCGGCCUCAGCGGCCUGGUUCCGAGAUUGGUCCCACUCGCCGACAACCUGGCCAAGCUCCAGCUGCCGCUGCUGCGCCUCUACGUGUGCCGCCACUGCCUCCGCCCCUAGCUCAUCGCAGAGCAACCGAAGGUCCGCCGCCUCGGCGCUCCAUUGGGCGAGGCGCUCGGUAGCCUCGGUAAGCGCGGCCCUCAGGAACCACAACAAACCCCAGACGUUGGCCUCGCGGCGGAUGAACGAUGACUUGGCGGUGCUCAGGUCCGUCAGAUCCUGAGGAAGGGAAGCAGGGCGUCACAAAGAAUACCCUGGCCAUGCGAAAGGUGCGCCUGAAAUCCUUACCUGGAGGAUCCUGGGAACGUCCCUGGAAAAGAUCUCCAUGGUCACCCGAAGCGACCCCAUCGCCGCCUCGGCAUACUCACGGAGCUCAUCCCAAGACUGCUCCUCCCGCUCAUCGUCAAGGACGAAGAGGGGUUUCGAAGCGCCGCGGGUCCAGAACCGGAGCGCCUGCGCGCGUCCCUCAUUAGGAUCGUGCCGCGCGGGGAUGAGGUCGCCGCUCCCCAAGACGGGCCGAGGCUCUGCCCGGGGUCCCGACGCCUUGGAGGCGGGCUCUCGAUCCGCGACCUCGAGCAGAGGCACCUCAACCAUCUCAGCAUCAGUGGCGACGGGUGGCUCCACGGGCAGAAUGGCAACCGCCUCGGUAGAAGCUGGUGCCGUUGCCGACAACACGUUAGAUGGGCACAAGGCCGCGGCCGCGACAGCAGCCUCCCCCGGCACGACGGCCACCUCGACGGAGGGGUCAGCCUGGGGAGCUCGCCCCAUGGCAACUCGCGCCGCCUGGGCCCCCCGCUUGGGGGCAUCUGGUGCGGAGGCCGGCCGACCGGUGUGGCGCGGUGCAACACUGGCUGCAGAAGCUGGCGCCGUCUUAAGGGCCUUCCUGGGAGCCAGAUCGGCCGAACCGUGCCUCCGUUUGCUGGGAGGAAAAGGUAAAGCAGGAUCAGGACACACGAAGAAGGAGCCAGGACAUAGGUAUCCUCAGAUACUUACCCGCUCCGGACCAGAGCCAAUCGCGCCUGAGGGGAGGCCCCUCGGGCCUCGGUCCCCACAGGCGUCGUCAAGGUUCGCCCCGCUGCCGGCUUCAGCGCCGCUCCCACUUCGGGCGCCCGGGGCGCCGAAGGGGCGGCCCGCUCGCAUGGCGUCACGACGGCCCGAGGAUCAACCUCCUGUACGGUCGGCACAGGCGACUACUCGUGGGGGAUAGGCGGGACGGCCUGACCCCCGGGGUCACCUCAACUACCUCGGCCGAGGGGUCAAGUACCCCCUCGGCUUGCCCCUGCUCUUCGGACCGGGACCCUGAUGUCCCGGCCCCGGACACUAACGGCGCCAGCCCACUCGGGGGUGGCUCGACGACCCCUGGCCCAGCCUCAGAUCCGGGCUGAGGCCAAGGCGGGCCGCCAUGUCGUCGUCUUCGUCAUCAUCGUCGUCAUCAUCGUCGUCAGGCGUCUCCGGCAACGGCUACCUCGGGAGCCCGUCCCUCUCCUGCCUUCGACGACGCCUCUCCAAGGCGUCCCGAGCCCGCAUCCGCUCGCGGGCCCGAGCCUUGUCCGCGUCCUUCUUCUCCUUCUUCUUCUCCGCAGCGACCCUCCGCGCGGCUCGGUCCACCACGUCCUCCGGGACCGGUGGCAGGGAAGGCUUGUAACACCUAGCUCCUGGAGACGAGCGGAAAUCCCGACUGAGAGAAUCGAAGGCAACCUAACACAAGAUAGGAGAAGGAGCGGAUACUCACCAAGGACACGCACCCACGCUCGGGACGCAUCAAGGGCUGGGUAAGGGCACCGGCCCUCCAGCUUCCCCACUGUGCCCGCUACUCGCCUGCGAAGGUCGUCGGCAGAGAGGGGAACCGAGGACAUCUGCGAACCCUCCAAGUCGACUCGUGGCAUCAUCUCCGAAAGCGGCAACUGCCGCUCUGCCAAGGGGAGCACCCUCCGGCGAUGAAUGGCGGCAACCACCCCCGCGGCGGUAAGCCCCCCAUCUCGUAGCUCCUGCAAGGCCGCCAGAAGGGGCUGGAGUUUCUCCUGUCUCUCGCGCAUGGCCCCAUAGCGCCAAUUGCUGCCGGGAGCGGUCACCACUCGUUGAGAAAAUGACGGGAGCCUCCCAUCGUCAUUCCGGAGGUAAAACCACCGGCGCUGCCACCCCUUGUUCGAAGACACAAGGAUGGCGGGGAUGUACUGCUGCGCGCGCUUGCCUCAACUGGAGGGUGCAGCCGCUGGCUCGCACCGCCAUACGGACCUUCUUCUCCCCCGUCGUCAAGGCAAAAAGCUCCGCGGAGAAGAAAUGGGUCCACAGAUCCCAGUGGGGGUCAAUCCCCAAAAAGCCUUCGCAAACCGCCGCGAAAAUGGCCGCUUGCGCGAUGAAGUUGGGGUUGAGGUUGUGUAGCUCCACCCCGUAGUAAUGCAGGAGCGCCCACAUGAAACGGCUUGCUGGCACUCCGAACCCCCGCUCAUGGAAGGAGACGAAGCUCAGCACGUACCCCGGCGGCGGGGUCGGGUCAACCCCGCUCGGAGGGACCAUCCACUCCGGCUGCGGGUCACCGGAGAGGGGACGGAGCAACCCGUCGGCGACAAGGGCCUCCAGAUUGUCCACCGUGACGAUGGAAAAAGGCCACGGGUCGUGCGGAGGAACGACGGUCACCCGGUCGGCCAUCGUCAAGCGAAGGGGGUGGCGGCGGAGCGGACGAGGUUUGCGGUUUUCUUUCUCUGGCUAUUCCCUUAGGUUGCGAAAACCCAAGCAGGAGGCAAGCGGCGGAGUAAGGAACCGCAACCGGUCUCUCUUCCGGGUAUAUAAAGGCCCGGGCAAGACCCGUUCAACACUUCGCCCGAACCCGCCGCGAAGUUCAAACCCAGAGGCGAAACGCCCGUUCCUCGAACGGCUUGCACGCGCAACGGGCGCCAUGCGAAUCGCCCGUCCCGUCACCUUAACUCCCCGGCGGAGCAGGCGACACCUUUUAGCAGGCGAGGCGGGCGUCGCUUCACCUUCGCCAUAAUGACCGCGUCAAAAAAGGUGUGCCAUUUUAUUUAAAAUUCAUAUCCUUCCCCUCCUCUCUCUCUCUCUUGCCACAGGGACCGGGAAAGGGGACGUUGUGGAAAGGAUUCUUCCCGGCGAAGGAAGCGGGCCCUGAGCCCUCCUACUGAUCAGGGGUUCGAAGGCUGGCCCAUCGGAAGGGUUCGACAGCCGCCCCAGAGCGCCCGGGCUCCGUGCCCACUACUGAUCAGGGGUUUGUAGGCUGGCCCCUCGGAAGGGUUCGACAGUCGCCCCAGAGCAUGCAGAGUGAGGGAUGACUCUGGGUACGUUCGAUACAUAACCAAGGCUCGGGCUACACUCCCGAGGGACCCUAGGACAUUUCCGAGACCAGCGGGAACGAUUUGUAACGGAAUCCCACCGGAGGGAGGCAUCGAGCCCUCGGACCCUGUCGAAGGGGUCUGGGUCCGGUGAAUCACCCGUAGGUACUUUUGGAGCGCGCCUCCGGGCUACAGCCGACCCCUAACGAACGGGGCACGGGCGUCCACUCGGAUCACCUAUUAGCAGCUCACUGGAAACACCAUGUUCGGCUCCCUCUGAGGGCAACAUGGCGCUUCCCCCCUCCUCCUUGCGGAAAGGCGACGCAGGGGCGUAAAUAAAAGUCAGGAAAGUCCUUGAUCGUCCUCUCGCUUCGUGCAGAGGCUCGGGGGCUGCUCCCGCACCCGGCUAUGGCCAAAACUGUUGACAACGUCAACAAACCAGCCUGAUAACUUGGAACCCGACCACACACUCGGGCUACUGCCAGGCCGCAAGAGGGAACGACUAGACCGGCCGAAGCACUACGAAAAGCAUUUUGACCUCAGAGGAGUCAAACCACUCCUCCGAGGCCUCAUGGGCUACACCCGGCGGGUGUGCUCGCGCGCACCCACCAGAACAAGGCGAAAAACCGAGAAAGGCCGGUCCCCUCACCGAAAACGUGGCAAAAGCCUCCAAGCGAGUACCAUCACUCCCUCCAAGGCUCGGGGGCUAUUGUCGGGUACCAUAAUUAGGGGUACCCCCAACGCUCCUAAUAACGGCUGGUUAACACCCUCAGACCAACUGACGUGUGCGGUUCAAGCCAAGACUUCGUCUACUCGAAGGACGCGAUCUUACCCGAGCCCAGCCUCGAGUAGGAACAGCCGUCCCAGACGAAUUCACGCCUCGCCCGAGGGCCUCCUCAGGCGGCAGGCGCCCCCUCGGCUCUCCCGAGGCCCGGCUCGGGCAGGCUUCGUCGAGAAGCAACCUUAGCCAUACCACCUCACCAACCGAUCGCUUCGCAGGUGCAUUAAAUGCGGGGGAUGCCUGACGCCGUAUCCUGACACACGCGCCUCGGUCGGUCAGGCCGAAGUGACCGCAGUCACUUCGCCCCGCCUCUUUUCUGUCCGAUAUGACAGGAAAACAGCGUCGCUCGCUCCGCUCCGACUGCCGUGUCAGCCACCCCGGCAACGACUGACAGCAUGUCACGAUCAACCACCAAGCUCAAGCCUCGGGCGCAACAGGAAGCUCCGCCUCGCUCGACCUCAGGCUCCGGCCUCGGGAGGAGGUCUCCGCCUCGCCCGAUCCCCGGGCUCGGCCUCGACUCCGGUCUCGGGAGGAAUCGCGUCCUCGCCCGACCCCGGCCUCGACCACAAGCGAAGUCUCCGCCUCGACCGACCCUGGGCUCGGACUGACCGUGCUGAUAGGGGAUGCAUCAUUCCCCUACUCCUAGCCUGCUCAGGCUACAAGGAACAAAACCGGCGUCCCAUCUGAUUUACCCGGCGACGAGUAAUGAUGGUGCUACGCGUGCGCCAUGACGCCGGUGGCUCUCAGCCCCUUACGACAGCAAGGAGACGUCAGCAGGGUCCUCGCGGCGCUGCCAGCUGUGCUCCUACAGGACUCAGGCGCUCCUCCGGCGGCCACGCCAUCACAUGUACAACGUCCAAGCUCUCCCCCCGACAGCCACGUUGGCAUGUACAUAGGGCUUAGGCACUCCACUGCCGGACACAUUAGCGCAUAGCUACGCCCCACGUUGUACACCUGGACUCACUCUUUGCCUCUAAAAGGGGAGUCCAGGGCCACCCUGAAAGAGGUUCGGGGGGUUCGCGCGAGGGGAAGCGGCGUACGAGCCCACUCUCUCUCUCCCUCACGCGACGCGCUUGUAACCCCUACUGCGAGCGGCACCCCUGGUGCAGGAUAAUACAAGGCUUGUUCCACAUCUUGUGUUCUAUCCCGCGCCAACCCAUCUGGGCAGGGACACGCAGCGACAAUUCACUUGUCGGUCCAGGGACCCCCCGGGGUCGAAACGCCGACACAUACUCUUUCUGUACACAAACAUACUCUUUCUGUACACAGAUAUUGUCGCUAUAGUAUCCACGUCGGUCAAACUUUCUUAAGGUUGACUAGAUUUAUAGAAUAUAUUGAUAACAUUUGUAUCCUCGAAUAAUUUUACUAUAGAAAUAGAGAUUCAAAGAUCUAUCUAAUGAAAAUUAUGUGUUAUAAAAAUUAAUAUUUUUUAUAUAAAUAUGGUUAAAGUUAAAAUGGUUGACUCUUCGAAAAGUAAGAAUGACCAAUAUUUGUGGACGGAGGGAGUAAGAGAUAAGAGACUAGUACUGAGAAUUAGGUAGGAUCAUCCACAGGCUAGAUCCAUCGUGUCUCGUGCCAAAUAUACUCAGGUCGAGAAGACUCAAAAUACUUUUAGACUCUAUCAUGUGAGCUUAAGAGUAAAAACAGUAGUUCAACUCGACCCUAAGGUAUGUCGGGCUUUUAUUGGGUCAUACCGGUUCAAGCCUAACCCACAUAUUUAAAAUGACAGUAUUUAAGGAAAAGAGAAACCAAUAGAGCGGUAUCAACAAUCCUCGUCAUGUAUUUCAAAUGAUAGUAUUUCAACAUAUAAAACAGCUACAUUUGCAUAGCUAUAAUACACAAAAUCAUUGGAUACAGCAGUACAUAUAGAUGCCAUAGAUGCCUAAACAGGCGACCGGCCCAAGUCCACUAGGUCCGACUAGUAACUAGGCCGCUCUAGAGCGAUCCAGACACGUCCGAUCUACUGACCAUGUCGGGACCACCGGUUAGCCUAUUAAGAUAUUUGGUUAAAUCAAUGAAGCGGGUUUUGAACUCACACGCUUCUUCUAGAGGAACGACCAGAUACGUUGGCCAAAGUCGACUAAGCCAAUAGAAGGGUAUAAUCACAAUUGCCCUGUUUAGCAUCUUUCGACUUUUCAAUAGUACCAUAUGUGAAAGUCGUCUAGAGGGAGGUGGAUAGGCGAAAUCUAAAAUUUAUAAACUUAAGCACACACUACAAGCCAGGGUUAGCGUUAGAAUUAAAACCGAGUCGGGGCGAGAGGGGGAAAAGAAAUCAACCAAGAGAUAAAGCGAGUGAACACAGUGAUUUGUUUUACCGAGGUUCGGUUCUAAAGAACCUAGUCCCCGUUGAGGUGGUCACAAAGAUUGGGUUUCUUUCAACUCUUUUCCUCUCUCAAACGGUCACUUAGACCGAGUGAGCUUUCUCCUUAAUUCUCAUGGGUCACUUAGACCCUGCAAGGACCACCACACAAUUGGUGUCUCUUGCCUUGCUUACAAAAUACUUGGGAACAAGAAUGAGGAAGGAAGCGAUCCAAGCAACAAAAGCGCAAAGAACACGAACAAACUCUCUCUUAAGUCACUAGGUGGUUGGAAUGAAUUCUAGACUUGGAGAGGCCUUGAUCUUUUAGAAAUGUGUCUUAGAGUGAAUGCACUAGCUCUUGUAUUGAAUGUGAAGUGCUGGAAACUUAGAUGCUUGAAGUGGUGGUGGUUGGGGGGUAUUUAUAGCCCUCAACCACCAAACAACUGUUGGGCAGUCUGAUGUCGAUGGGCGCACCAGACAGUCCGGUGCGCCACCGGACACAGUCCGGUGCACUAGCCACGUCACCCAACUGUUAGGGUUCUGGAGCAUUUGACUAUUGGAGGCUUUGUCCUCUAGUGGCACCGGACAAUCCGGUGCUACACUAGACAUGUCCUGUUCACUGUCCGGUGCGCCUUUGACUUCUGCUCUAACUUCUGCUGCGCACUGUAGCGCACUGUAGCGUUAGCAGAGUCGACCGUUGCACGAAGGAGCCGUUGCUCCGCUGGUGCACCGGACAGUCCGAUGGCACACCGGACAGUCCGGUGAAUUAUAGCGGAGCGCGCCUGGAGAAACCCGAGAGUGGCUAUUUCAUUCUUGUACGAUCCUGGUGCACCGGACACUAUCCGAUGGCACACCGGACAGUUCGGUGCGCCAGACCAGAGCACACUCGGUUUCUUUGCUCCUUUGUAUUUGAACCCUAUCUUGAAUAUUUAUUGGUUUGUGUUGAACCUUUAUGCACCUGUAGAACAUAUAUUCUAGAGCAAACUAGUUAGUCCAUAUAUUUGUGUUGGGCAUUCAACCACCAAAAUUAAUUAUGGGAAAAGGUUAACCCUAUUUCCCUUUCAAUCUCCCCCUUUUGGUGAUUGAUGCCAACACAAACCAAAGCAAAUAUAUAAAGUGCAGAAAUGAACUAGUUUGCAUAAGGUAAGUGCAUAGGUUACUUGGAAUUAAACCAAUUUGAAAGUCUUAUUACAUAUGAAUAAGAGUGAAUGGAUUGCUUUCUUUUAUUAACAUUUUGGACCACUUUUGCACCACAUGUUUUUGUUUUUGCAAAUCUUUUUCAAAUUCUUUUCAAAAUUCUUUUGCAAAUAGUCAAAGGUAUAUGAAUAAGAUUGUAAGAAGCAUUUUCAAGAUUUGAAAUUUCUCCCCCUGUUUCAAAUGCUUUUCCUUUGACUAAACAAAAGCUCCCCCUGAAUGAAAUUCUCCUCUUAGCUUUCAAGAGAGUUUUGAAAUGGAUACCAAUUUUGAAAUCUUUUUUUCAUAAGCAUAGAUACCAAUUUGAAAUUGUCUUGAGUACUAAAAAACAAACAUUUGUGAAUACCAAUAAAAUAUUCAUUUCGAAAAUUUUGAAAUGGUGGUGGUGCGGUCCUUUUGCUUUGGGCUUAAUAUUUUCUCCCCCUUUGGCAUUAAGCGCCAAGAACGGAGAACAUUGGAGCCCUUUUUAUAUUUUCUCCCCCAGUGAUAAAAUAAAUAUGAGUGAAAGAUUAUACCAAUCGGAGAGAUGGCGGAAUACCGGCAAAGGGUAAGUAAUACCGAUGGAGUUGAGUGGAAGCGUUGUCUUUGCCGAGUACUCCAUUUCCCUUUCAAUCUAAGACUAACACAAGAAAUACUCAUGGAAUCAUAUUAGUGUUGGGGCGAAGCCAAAGACGCUACCCUUCGCUCUAGGCCUUCGUCAACUCGCUGCACCGACAGAGGCAAGAUGACCGGUGUGACCCACCCUUCGUCCUCUUCACUGCAAGACGAAGGCCUACGACGAAGUCUCUCCAUCCCGCGUCCUCGGUCCUACCUGGAGGCCCACGUGGGAUUCGGCCCAUCGUAACAGGCCCCGCACGGACAGGCGUGUUACGGACCUGAUUUGUAAUAGCUUUUCUGUAAUGACAGUUUAUAACCCUCCUUUAUGGGAAUAUUCUGGGGAUAAUCCAGGUGUCUGAGGGCAUAAGCGUCCUUACAUCGAGACGUUGGGCGCUCGGGCACCUAUAAAUACCCCCGUACAAUGCCCUUGAGAGGCUGGAUUAACAGAGCAAUCGCCAUCUCGAGUAAAACCUUACUUGCAUCCUUUCCACUCCCCCGUUGGAUCAACUUGCCCAGGAGUGCAAGUUCAAACAUUUGGCGUCCACCGUUCGUUCUACGAACAAACAACUCGCGAUGGCACCCAAGAGAGCUAGUUCCAAGGCAGCCCCCUCCAUCGACGAAGCAGCAAAGGCAGCACUGCUAGCUGAGAAAAAGGGCAAGGCCCUCGCAGACAACACCCACCAAGAAGCUGGCGAAGACGAAGCACACAGUAAGAGACAGCGCAACGAUCAACACACUCCCGAAGGCACCCUCCGCACCUGCAGCUCCGGAGGGCAACCACAAGUACCACCCCCAGGCUUCGCUCCACUAGAGGGCGACGACGCAACAGAGGACGGCGAAGUCAUCGGCGUCUUAGCAGAAGAGCAGCUACAACUACGGGCCCUACGCCUCAAGAACCGCAACCUCCAGAAGCAGAAAGAGAUCCUCGAGGCCAAGCGCCAAUGUGUCUCCGCGCAAGCCAAGGUGCGCCAGAUGAUACGAGACGAGGAGCAGAGGGCUCGGGAACUCAAACAGGAGAUUGCGCUCAUGCAGCGUGAAGGCCAACACGAUCUGCAGCACGACCCGCCCCUCCAACAUCGUGCGCCGGUCAGAGACUUAUUCAUUCCCCAGCGCGAACCCUUCGUCCCGCACGCAUCAGCUUUCCAGGGCAUCAACUACCUCGAUGAGCGAAGCCCUCUGGCACCGCAACUGCAAGUGUCACCAUGGCCCGCCAACUUCAGGGCAGGGACCUACCCCAAGUACAACGAUAGCACUGACCCAGCACAAUACAUCAUGAGCUAUCAAGUCGCCGUCGCAUCAUCCGGAGGGGACGACGCCACGAUGGCCAAGUCUUUCAUCAUCGCCCUCGAGGGUCCGGCCUUGACCUGGUACACCAGGUUGCCCCCAUUGUCCAUCGACUCCUGGAGAAGUCUCCGGGACAAGUUUCUGCUAAACUUUCAGGGGUACCGCCCAGACACCGAUGCCUUGGCCGACCUGUCACUCUGCAAACAGCAAGAGAAAGAAACCCUGCGGGAGUACUACCGCAAGUUCCUGACCCUCAAGUCACAACUGCCCUCGGUCGACGACCAAAUUGCCAUACACUACGCCAUCAGUGGCCUUCGAGCUGGCGUCCUGUACAGUCACUGCAUCAGGGACCCAUCCAGAAACCUCUAGGAGCUCUAUCAGUUGUUUGAAAAGUACGCCAGAUCCGAAGAGCUCCAUCAGCGCAAGGUCGAGUCUCAAAGAAAGCCCAAGGACCCUCCGUAGUCUAGCCGAACAUGGACAAGACCUUCGCAGUCAGACUCCGGCCGGGACAGCCGCAGUCAGUAGCAGGUGCAUAACAUUGCCAACCAGCACCCCGCCGGCGAAGCCCCUCGCCGCCAAGAUUAUCCCCCCAGGGCCGCGGCAAUGGCACGCAUGGUCGGGGCCGGGGACGGGCUCAACAGCCGCAUAGAUAUUACUACCUGUUUCACGGCGAAGACUGCACGCACCCAACCAGGGAUUGCCCGAAAACGAAGGCCACCAGGGACAGGAUGUCUCAGGCACAACCAGCCGACAACCCAAGAGUUGUCGCACACACAUAUCAACACCACCACCCACAACCAUACAACCACGGCCUCGCCCAGCAUCUACCCAACCACGCAUAUCAACACCACCAGGAGGUACAAGUCGUACCACCCCCACUCCAACUCCCGCCUCAGCAUCAACCAAACAUCCACCACCAAAAUCACCCCAAGAACCAAAACAGGAAGACUUCGCUGAUCAACCGUAUCGCGGAGUCAUUCACAUGAUCACCGGAGGGUCCAGCGUCGACUUCGACACGAAGCGACAAAAGAGGGACCACUACCAAAGCAUCAGCCACGUCGCCAUCACCGGCCCAGUCGUGCAAAUGAAGUGGUCACAUGUGCCGCUAACCUUCGACGCCAGAGAUGUUGAUCUGCGCAGCGCACCCCACAUUGAUGCCAUGGUAAUCAACUGCAGUGUGGCAGGCUGGGACAUGCACAAAUUCCUAGUUGACAACGGCAGCCAGGCGGACAUCAUCUUCCUCCACGCCUUCGACCGCAUGGGCAUCAGCCACAGCUUGCUCAAGCCUUCAGACAACCCCCUUCAUGGCUUCGGCGGCAAGGUCACCUUCCCUGUGGGCAAGAUAGAGCUACCUCUGUCCUUCGGCGUAGCACCCAAUGCGUGAAGCGAACAUGUCACCUUCGACAUCGUUGACAUAGUCUAUCCCUACAACGCCAUAAUGGGUCGGGGUUCUAUCAACAAAUUUGAAGUGGCCAUCCACGUAUUAUACCUCUGCAUGAAAAUUCCGGGUCCGCAAGGCGUAAUAAUUGAGAGCACCUAGAGGGGGGGUGAAUAGGUGAUCCUGUAAUACUUCAAAAUCUUAAGCCACAAAACUUGAUUAAUUGUUAGCACAGUAAUUUGCCAAGUGGCUAGAGAAGGAUCUCAACACAACACAAUAACCAAGAGAUAUCAAUCACAGAGAUGGCACGGUGGUUAUCCCGUGGUUCGGCCAAGACCAACGCUUGCCUACUCCACGUUGUGGCGUCCCAACGGACGAGGGUUGCAAUCAACCCCUCUCAAGCGGUCCAAAGACCAACUUGAAUACCACGGUGUUGCUUUGCUUUUCUUAAUCCCACUUGCGAGGAAUCUCCACAGCUUGGAGCCUCUCGCCCUUUCAAAAGAUGUUCACAAAGAAUCACGGAGCAAGGGAGGGAUCAGCAACUCACACACGACACAAAGAUCACAGCGAAUACGCACACACAAAACCAAGACUUGAGCUCAAGUGACUAGCACACUAGAACGGAGCUCAAAUCACUAGAAUGUCGAACAAGUGCGCAAGAAUGUAGUGUGAGUGAUCAACAAUGCUCAAGGGAUGCUUGGUGUUCUCCUCCAUGCGCCUAGGGGUCCCUUUUAUAGCCCCAAGGUAGCUAGGAGCCGUUGAGCACAAAUCUGGAAAGCCAUUCUUGCCUUCUGUCAUCGGGUGCACCGGACAGUCCGGUGCACACCGGACACUGUCCGGUGCCCGAUUUCCUUCCUAAAAUGGCGCGGCCGACUGUUGCAGAUCUGGGAGCCGUUGGCGCACCGGACAUGUCCGGUGCACACCGGACAGUCCGGUGCCCCCUCCCGACCGUUGGCCCGACCACGUGUCGCGCGCAGAUUCCGCGGCCGACCGUUGGCUCACCGGACAGUCCGGUGCACACCGGACAGUCCGGUGAAUUUUAGCCGUACGCCGUCGGCGAAUUCCCGAGAGCGGCCACUUCACGCCGAGUCAGCCUGGCGCACCGGACAGUCCGGUGUGCCAGACUGAGCUGAGUCUUGGCUGUACACAGCCAAGCCUUUUUCACCUCUUUUCUUUUCUUCUUCUUUCUGUUUCUAACACUUAGACAAGUAUAUUAGUACACAAAACCAAUGUACUAAGGCUUAGAAACAUACCUUUACUCUUGAUUUGCACUUUGUCCAUCCAUGAGCAUAAAUUCACAUUUAAGCACUUGUGUUGGCACUCAAUCACCAAAAUACUUAGAAAUGGCCCAAGGGCACAUUUCCCUUUCAAUCUCCCCCUUUUUGGUGAUUUAUGCCAACACAACAUAAAGCAACUAGAACAAGUGCAAUAUCACUUCAAAUAAAACUCAAAUUUAUUUUGAUUCAAUUUUGGCAUAUAUGGAUCAUCCUUUGCCACCACUUGGUUUGUUUUUGCAAAUCAAACUCAAAUCUCUAUCUCUAAGUCAAACACACAUGUUGAAGCAUAAAUAGAGUCAUUUCAAAAGAGAUUGAUCAAAGAUUUCAAAAACUCCCCCUAUUUCCCAUAAUCAACACUUCUCCCCACAAGAGGCCAACUUUUGACAAAAGAGACAAUGCAAGAGUUUUGACAAAACAAAAAGCUCUAUUUUACUAUUUUCAAAAUUUCUCAAGUGGUAGCUGAUCCAUUUAUUGCUUUGGCCUUUAUUUUCUCCCCCUUUGGCAUCAAGCACCAAAACGGGAUCAAUCUUGGCCCGAUAACCCCAUUGCCUCACCAAAAUCUUCAAUUAAGAGCAAAUGGCAAUAAGAGUUCAUGAGAUGAACUUGGAAUAAGUUACCCUCUCAUCGGAGUGCAGUGGAAGUCUUUCAUGGUCCAAGUCCACCUUUUCCCUUUCAAUCCUCCUUCGAGACUAAAUCAUCAAACUCAAGCACAUGGUUAGUCUCAAAGGGUCAAGUUGUAACACAUCUCCCCCUAAACAUGUGCAUCACUUUGCAACGGACUUGUGAGGUCCAGGGAGUGUUUGUACAACUUGAGCACCACAAUAAGCAACAAAAUGCAGAAGGAACAUGAUCACAGGCAUAAACACAAGUAUGCUAUAAAUCAAUCCAAUUUCCGCGAAUCUAAGACAUUUAGCUCACUACGCAACCUGCAAAAGGUCUUCUCAUCUAGAGGCUUGGUAAAGAUAUCGGCUAGCUGGUUCUCGGUGCUAACAUGAAACACUUCGAUAUCUCCCUUUUGCUGGUGGUCUCUCAAAAAGUGAUGCCGGAUGUCUAUGUGCUUUGUGCGGCUGUGCUCAACAGGAUUUUCCGCCAUGCGGAUAGCACUCUCAUUAUCUCAUAGGAGUGGGACUUUGCUCAGAUUGUAGCCAAAGUCCCGAAGGGUUUGCCUCAUCCAAAGCAGUUGCGCGCAACACUGUCCUGCGGCAACGUACUCGGCCUCAGCGGUGGAUAGGGCAACAGAGGUUUGUUUCUUAGAGUUCCAUGACACCAGGGACCUUCCUAAGAAUUGGCACGUCCCCGAUGUACUCUUCCUAUCGACCUUACAUCCAGCAUAGUCGGAGUCUGAGUAUCCAACCAAGUCAAAGGUAGACCCCUUUGGAUACCAGAGCCCGAAGCAAGGCGUAGCAACCAAAUAUCUAAGAAUUCGCUUCACCGCCACUAAGUGACACUCCUUAGGAUCAGAUUGAAAUCUAGCACACAUGCAUACGCUAAGCAUGAUAUCCGGUCUACUAGCACAUAAAUAAAGUAAAGACCCUAUCAUUGACCGGUAUGCUUUUUGAUCAACGGACUUACCUCCUUUGUUGAGAUCGGUGUGUCCGUCGGUUCCCAUCGGAGUCUUUGCGGGCUUGGCGUCCUUCAUCCCAAACCGCUUUAGCAGAUCUUGCGUGUACUUCGUUUGGGAGAUGAAGGUGCCGUCCUUGAGUUGCUUCACUUGGAACCCAAGGAAGUAGUUCAACUCGCCCAUCAUCGACAUCUCGAAUUUCUGCGUCAUUACCCUGCUAAACUCUUCACAAGACUUUUGGUUAGUAGAACCAAAUAUUAUGUCAUCGACAUAAAUUUGGCACACAAAAAGAUCACCGUCACAAGUCUUAGUGAAAAGAGUUGGAUCGGCUUUCCCAACCUUGAAAGCAUUAGCACUUAAAAAGUCUCUAAGGCAUUCAUACCAUGCUCUUGGGGCUUGCUUAAGUCCAUAGAGCGCCUUAGAGAGCUUACACACGUGGUCGGGGUACCGUUCAUCCUCGAAGCCAGGGGGUUGCUCCACGUACACCUCCUCCUUGAUUGGCCCGUUGAGGAAAGCGCUCUUCACAUCCAUUUGGAACAACCUGAAAGAAUGGUGAGCGGCAUAUGCUAGCAAGAUACGAAUUGAUUCUAGCCUAGCCACAGGAGCAAACGUCUCCUCAAAGUCCAAACCUGCGACUUGGGCAUAACCUUUUGCCACAAGUCGAGCCUUGUUCCUCGUCACCACCCCGUGCUCGUCCUGUUUGUUGCGGAACACCCACUUGGUUCCCACAACAUUUUGCUUGGGACGAGGCACCAGUGUCCAAACUUCAUUGCGCUUGAAGUUGUUGAGUUCCUCCUGCAUGGCCAAUACCCAAUCCGGAUCUAGAAAGGCCUCCUCUACCCUGAAAGGCUCAAUAGAAGAGACAAAGGAGUAAUGCUCACAAAAAUUAACUAAUCGAGAUCGAGUAGUUACUCCCUUGCUAAUGUCACCCAAAAUUUGGUCGACGGGAUGAUCCCUUUGAAUCACCGCUCGAACUUGGGUUGGAGGUGCCGGUUGUGCUUCUUCCUCCAUCACGUGAUCAUCUUGUGCUCCUCCUUGAUCACACGCCUCCUUUUGAUGAACCUGUUCAUCGUCUUGAGGUGGGGGAUGCACCGUUGUUGAGGAAGAAGGUUGAUCUCGUUCAUCUUGUUCCUGUGGCCGCACUUCUCUAAUCGCCAUGGUUCGUAUAGCGGCCGUCGGAACAUCUUCUUCAUCUACAUCAUCACAAUCAACAACUUGCUCUCUUGGAGAGCCAUUAGUCUCAUCAAAUACAACGUCGCUAGAGACUUCAACCAAACCCGAUGAUUUGUUGAAGACUCUAUACGCCUUUGUAUUUGAGUCAUAACCUAAAAAAACCCUUCUACAGCUUUGGGAGCAAAUUUAGAAUUUCUACCCUUCUUCACUAGAAUGUAGCACCUGCUCCCAAAUACACGAAAGUAAGAUACAUUGGGUUUGUUACCGGUUAGUAGCUCAUACGAAGUCUUCUUGAGGAGACGAUGAAGGUAGACCCGGUUGAUGGCGUGGCAAGCCGUGUUCAUGGCUUCCGACCAAAAACGCUCGGGGGUCUUGAAUUCUCCAAGCAUCAUCCUCGCCAUAUCGAUUAACGUCCUGUUCUUCCUCUCUACCACACCAUUUUGCUGUGGUGUGUAGGGAGCGGAGAACUCGUGCUUGAUCCCUUCCUCCUCAAGGAACUCCUCCACUUGAAGGUUCUUGAACUCGGACCCGUUGUCGCUCCUUAUCUUCUUCACCUUGAGCUCAAACUCAUUUUGAGCUCUCCUUAGGAAGCGCUUGAGGGUCCCUUGGGUUUCAGACUUAUCCUGCAAAAAGAACACCCAAGUGAAGCGGGAAAAGUCAUCAACAAUAACUAGACCAUACUUACUUCCUCCUAUGCUCAGAUAGGCGACGGGUCCGAAGAGGUCCAUAUGUAGCAGCUCCAGGGGUCUUGAUGUUGUCAUCACAUUUUUGGUGUGAUGAGAGCCUCCCACUUGUUUCCCUGCUUGACAAGCUGCACAAGGUCUAUCUUUUUCGAAAUGAACAUUGGUUAGACCUAUCACAUGUUCUCCCUUUAGAAGCUUGUGGAGGUUCUUCAUCCCCACAUGUGCUAAGCGGCGAUGCCACAGCCAGCCCAUGCAAGUCUUAGCCAUUAAGCAUGCAUCUAGACCGGUCUCUUCUUUUGCAAAAUCAACUAGGUAAAGCUUGCCGUCUAGUACACCCUUAAAAGCUAGUGAACCAUCACAUCUUCUAAAGACAGACACAUCUAUAUUUGUAAACAAACAGUUAUAUCCCAUAUUGCAUAAUUGACUAACAGAUAGCAAAUUAUAUCCAAGAGACUCUACUAAAAACACAUUAGAGAUAGAGUGCUCAUUUGAGAUUGCAAUUUUACCUAACCCUUUUACCUUGCCUUGAUUCCCAUCACCGAAUAUUAUUGAAUCUUGGGAAUCUUUGUUUUUGACGUAGGAGGUGAACAUCUUCUUCUCCCCCGUCAUAUGGUUUGUGCAUCCGCUAUCAAUAAUCCAGCUUGAACCCCCGGAUGCAUAAACCUGCAAGGCAAAUUUAGGCUUGGGUCUUAGGUACCCAACUCAUGUUGGGUCCUGCAAGGUUAGCACAAAUAUCCUUAGGGACCCAAAUGCAAGUUUUGUCUCCCUUGCAUCUUGCCCCUAAUUUUCUAGCAACUAUCUUCCUAUCCUUUCUACAAAUAGCAAAAGAAGCAUUUAAAGCAUGAUAUAUUGUAGAGGGUUCAUUUACUUUCCUAGGAACAUUAACAACAUUUCUCCUAGGCAAAUUAUGAACAGCAUUUCUCCUACCAACAUUUCUAUCAUGCACAUAAGAAGAACUAGAAGCAAACAUGGCAUGAGAAUCAAAGGGAUUAUAUGCAUUACAACUUCUAUAAGCAUUUCUAGAUUGUCUCCUAUCAUGGUACAUAAAAGCAUGGUUCUUUUGCACACUACUAGCCAUAGGGGCCUUUCCUUUCUCCUUGGCGGAGAUGGGGGCCUUAUGGCUUGUCAAGUUCUUGGCUUCCCUCUUGUAGCCAAGUCCAUCCUUAAUUGAGGGGUGUCUACCGAUCGUGUAGGCAUCCCUUGCAAAUUUUAGCUUGUCAAAUUCAUUCUUGCUAGUCUUAAGUUGGGCAUUAAGACUAGCUAAUUCCUCAUUUAAUUUAGAAAUUGAAACUAAAUGAUCACUACAAGCAUCAAUGUCAAAAUCUUUACACCUAUUACAAGUUUCAACAAUUUCUACACAAGAAUUAGAUUUACUAGCUACUUCUAGUUUAGCAUUUAAAUCAUCGUUAAAACUUUUUAACUUAGCAAUAGUUUCAUGACAAGAAGAUAAUUCACUAGAGAGCAUUUCAUUCCUCUUAAUUUCUAGAGCAAGAGAUUUCUGAGCUUCUACAAAUUUAUCUUGUUCUUCAUACAACAAAUCCUCUUGCUUUUCUAACAGUAUAUUCCUAUCAUUCAAGGCAUCAAUCAAUUCAUUAAUUUUGUCUACCUUAGUUCUAUCUAAUCCCUUGAAUAAGCAUGAGUAAUCUAUCUCAUCAUCAUCACUAGACUCAUCCUCACUUGAAGAAGCAUAAGUACUAGUAUUAGGAGUGCUUACUUUCUUCUCCCUUGCCAUGAGGCAAGUGUGACGCUCGUUGGGGAAGAGGGAUGACUUGUUGAAGGCAGUGGCGGCGAGUCCCUCAUUAUCAGAGUCGGACGAGGAGCAGUCCGAAUCCCACUCCUUGCCAAGAUGAGCCUCGCCCUUUGCCUUCUUAUAGUUCUUCUUUUUCUCCCUCUUGUUCCCUUGAUCCUGAUCACUAUCAUUGUCGGGACAGUUAGCAAUAAAAUGACCAAGCUUACCGCAUUUGAAGCAUGAGCGCUUCCCCUUGGCUUUGGUCUUGCUUGGCUGUCCCUUGCGACCUUUAAGCACCAUCUUGAAUCUUUUGAUGAUGAGAGCCAUCUCUUCAUCAUUAAGUCCGGCCGCCUCAAUCUGUGCCACCUUGCUUGGUAGCGCCUCCUUGCUUCGUGUUGCCUUGAGAGCAAGGGGUUGCGGCUCGUUGACCGGACCAUUCAAGGCGUCGUCCACGUACCUCGCCUCCUUGAUCAUCAUUCGCCCGCUAACAAAUUUCCCAAGAACUUCUUCGGGCGACAUCUUGGUGUACCUGGGAUUUUCACGAAUAUUGUUCACCAAAUGAGGAUCAAGAACGGUAAAUGACCUUAGCAUUAGGCGGACGACGUCGUGGUCCGUCCAUCGCGUGCUCCCGUAGCUCCUUAUUUUGUUGAUAAGGGUCUUGAGCCGGUUGUAUGUUUGUGUCGGCUCCUCGCCCCUUAUCAUCGCGAACCGUCCAAGCUCGCCUUCCACCAACUCCAUUUUGGUGAGCAAGGUGACGUCGUUUCCCUCAUGAGAGAUCUUGAGGGUGUCCCAGAUCUGCUUGGCAUUGUCCAAGCCGCUCACCUUGUGAUACUCGUCCCUGCACAAAGAGGCUAGCAACACAGUAGUAGCUUGUGCAUUUUUAUGAAUCUGUUCAUUAAUAAACACAGGGCUAUCCGAGCUAUCAAAUUUCAUUCCACUUUCCACAAUCUCCCAAAUGCUUGGAUGGAGAGAAAACAGGUGAGUACGCAUUUUGUGGCUCCAAAAUCCGUAGUCCUCUCCAUCAAAGUGAGGGGGCUUGCCAAGUGGAAUGGGGAGCAAUUGAGCAUUUGAACUAUGCGGGAUGCGUGAAUAAUCGAAAGAAAAGUUUGAGUUAACCGUCUUUCGUCUAUCGUGGUCGUCGUCGUCCUUUUGGGAGGAGGAAGAUUCGUCGCUAUCGUAGUAGACAAUUUCCUUGAUGCGCCUUGUCUUCUUCUUCCUCCCGUCUUUUCUUUUGUGGCCCGAGCCUGAGUCGGUGAGCUUGUCAUCAUUGGGCUCGUUGACGAAGGUCUCCUUCUCCUUGUCGUUGAUCACCAUCCCCUUGCCCUUAGGAUCCAUCUCUUCGGGCGGUUAGUCCCUUUCUUGAAGAGAACGGCUCUGAUACCAAUUGAGAGCACCUAGAGGGGGGGGGGGUGAAUAGGUGAUCCUGUAAUACUUCAAAAUCUUAAGCCACAAAACUUGAUUAAUUGUUAGCACAGUAAUUUGCCAAGUGGCUAGAGAAGGAUCUCAACACAACACAAUAACCAAGAGAUAUCAAUCACAGAGAUGGCACGGUGGUUAUCCCGUGGUUCGGCCAAGACCAACGCUAGCCUACUCCACGUUGUGGCGUCCCAACGGAUGAGGGUUGCAAUCAACCCCUCUCAAGCGGUCCAAAGACCAACUUGAAUACCACGGUGUUGCUUUGCUUUUUCUUAAUCCCACUUGCGAGGAAUCUCCACAGCUUGGAGCCUCUCGCCCUUUCAAAAGAUGUUCACAAAGAAUCACGGAGCAAGGGAGGGAUCAGCAACUCACACACGACACAAAGAUCACAGCGAAUACGCACACACAAAACCAAGACUUGAGCUCAAGUGACUAGCACACUAGAACGGAGCUCAAAUCACUAGAAUGUCGAACAAGUGCGCAAGAAUGUAGUGUGAGUGAUCAACAAUGCCCAAGGGAUGCUUGGUGUUCUCCUCCAUGCGCCUAGGGGUCCCUUUUAUAGCCCCAAGGUAGCUAGGAGCCGUUGAGCACAAAUCUGGAAAGCCAUUCUUGCCUUCUGUCAUCGGGUGCACCGGACAGUCCGGUGCACACCGGACACUGUCCGGUGCCCGAUUUCCUUCCUAAAAUGGCGCGACCGACCGUUGCAGAUCUGGGAGCCGUUGGCGCACCGGACAUGUCCGGUGCACACCGGACAGUCCGGUGCCCCCUCCCGACCGUUGGCCCGGCCACGUGUCGUGCGCAGAUUCCGCGGCCGACCGUUGGCCCGGUCGACCGUUGGCUCACCGGACAGUCCGGUGCACACCGGACAGUCCGGUGAAUUUUAGCCGUACGCCGUCGGCGAAUUCCCGAGAGCGGCCACUUCACGCCGAGUCAGCCUGGCGCACCGGACACUGUCCGGUGCACCACCGGAUAGUCCGGUGUGCCAGACUGAGCUGAGUCUUGGCUGUACACAGCUAAGCCUUUUUCACCUCUUUUCUUUUCUUCUUCUUUCUGUUUCUAACACUUAGACAAGUAUAUUAGUACACAAAACCAAUGUACUAAGGCUUAGAAACAUACCUUUACUCUUGAUUUGCACUUUGUCCAUCCAUGAGCAUAAAUUCACAUUUAAGCACUUGUGUUGGCACUCAAUCACCAAAAUACUUAGAAAUGGCCCAAGGGCACAUUUCCCUUUCAAUAAUGGUGUAUGGGAACCAGCAGGCUGCGCGUAACAUUAAGAGAGACUUCGUUCCCGGUCAACAGAACAUACACUGCCUUACGGCACAGCGCGAAGUCCCCGAGGCUACCCGCCCAGCCGCCAACGAACAUGAAAAAGCACAGCUGCAAAGCAACGACGAAACGAAGACGGUUCCCCUUGACCCAGCAACGCUAAAGCAAACAGUCAUCAUAAGCGAAGACCUGACUUCGCAGGAGGAGGAGAAACUCAUCUCCUGUCUCUGCAGAAAUAAGGACGUCUUCGCCUGGUCCGCCCUCAACCUGGUCGGAGUCAGUCGCACCGUCAUCGAGCACAGUCUGGGCAUUGACCCUUCGGUGCGCCCAAAGAAGCAGCGGUUGCGCCAAAUGUCCGAUGAAAAAACAAAAGCCGCCAAAGCCAAAGUACACCGCCUACUGGAGGCCAAUUUCAUCGAGCCAGUCGCCUACCCUACGUGGCUAUCCAACGUAGUCAUGGUGCAGAAGAAGAGCGGCAAGUGGCGGAUGUGCAUCGAUUUCACCAGCCUCAACUAGGCCUGCCCCAAGGAUAAUUUUCCGCUGCCACGGAUCGACAAGAUAGUCGAUAGUGCGGCCGGAUGCGAAGUCAUGUCACUCCUUGACUGCUUCUCCGGCUACCACCAAAUAUAUAUGAAGGAGGAAGACAAUGCCAGUACCAGUUUCAUCACACCCUUCGGCACAUACUGCUUCAUCAGAAUGCCGGAGGGACUCAAGAACGCUGGGUCAACCUUCUCUCGCCUCACCAAGACGGUGCUCGAGAGCCAAGUAGGCCAGAACAUUUUCACGUAUGUGGACGACAUCGUCGUCGCCAACAAAAAUAAGGAGGAUCACCUGACCGACCUCGCAGAGACAUUCGCAAACAUGAGGGACGCACGACUUCGCCUCAACCUCGAGAAGUGCGUCUUUGGGGUCCGCCAGGGGAAGAUACUGGGCUACCUGGUGUCACACAGCGGGAUCGAGGCCAACCCGACCAAGAUUCAGGCAAUAAUCAACAUGACACCCCCGCGGUCAACCAGGGACGUCCAGCGUCUAACAGGCAGAUUGGCCGCUCUAAACAAAUUCAUCUCCAAUUCCACCGAGCGAAGUCUACCUUUCCUCAAGACACUGCAUGGUGCGAAGGACUUCACGUGGGGACCAGAACAGGCGGCAGCCUUCGCAUCACUCAAGCAGCACCUGUCAGACUUGGCCAUUCUCACCAGUCCAGACCCUUCACUGCCGCUUCUGCUCUACAUCGCCGCCUCGCCAUAUGCAGUCAACGCAGCCCUAGUCCAAGAGCAAAACAGGGAGGGCACGACCUGGCAGUGUCCAGUCUACUACGUCUCCGAGGUCCUCAUGGCCUCCAAGUGUAACAUGACCGAGUUGGAAAAAAUCUCCUACGCAGUCGUCAUGGCAUCACGCAAGCUGCGCCAUUACUUCGAAGCAUUCAAGGUGUGGGUCACCUCAGACAGGGGACUGGGAGAGCUGUUCUGCAACCCGGAGGCGUCUGUCCGGAUUGCCAAAUGGGCAGCCGAGCUCUCCGACUACCGUAUCAUCUUCGAACCCAGGACAACAAUCAAGUCGUAGGUCCUGGCAGAUUUCAUCGUUGACUAGACAGGGCCAGUAGCGCAGUAGGACGAGCCUACAGAUAAAGUGUGGACCAUCCACUGCGACGGCACAUGGUGCCAUGCGGGGGCAGGCGCGGCUGCAGUCAUCACAUCACCCACAGGGGUCAAACACAGAUAUGCAGCACGCCUCAGCUUUGCUUUGGAGUCCGUCAGAUGCACCAACAAUGUAGCAGAAUACGAAGCUGUCAUCCUGGGUCUUCGCAAGCUAAGAGCGCUUGGUGUCACCACCUGCAUAAUCAAGACAGAUUCCAAAGUGGUUGCUGGUCAGGUCGAAAAAGAAUAUUCAACAAAAGACCCCGCACUCAUGUAGUAUCUCACGGCUGUUCGCAGUCUUGAGAGACAGUUCAAGGGUUUCACCUUGCAGCAUGUGGACCGAGCCAGGAACGAGGAGGCCGACGCAUUGGCCAAAGCAGCUGCCAGAGGCGAAGUCUUGCCCUCCGAUGUGUUCUACCACGUCAUCGGCACACCAGCCGUCCGCAGUCCAGAGGGUCUACAAAUAACCAACGACACCGAGGGCCAUCGCAUAGUCAACCUCAUCAUGAUAGAAGAUUGGCGGGCCCCGAUAACCCUGUUCCUACAAGGAUAUUAUCAUCCAAGAAACGUUAACGAGGCCAAGCGCCUCAAGCACCGAAGCCGGGACUUCGCAAUCAUUGAGGGCCAGCUAUACAAGAAGGGGGUCAGUCAACCUAUGCUUAAAUGUGUCACUGAAACUGAAGGCAUCCAGAUCCUGCGCGAAGUCCACAACGAAACUUGUGGCUCUCACUCGGGGCCUAGGGCCCUCGCUGCCAAGGUGACCCGUCAAGGGUUCUACUGGCCCGCUAUAAUCUGCGCCGCAAACCGAGUCACGAGGUCGUGUGAAGCCUGCCAGAAGUUUUCUCCCCAUUCGGGCAACCCUUUGCAAUUCACAAAGCUGAUUGCCCACACAUGGCCACUUCAACGCUGGGGGCUGGAUAUUGUCGGGCCACUACCCACGGCUCAAGGGAACCUCAAGUUCACCUUCGUCGCCGUCGAGUAUUUUACCAAGUGGAUCGAGGCAAGGGUAGUAUCCACAGUAACGUCGAAGACUGACCAGAAAUUCUUCUGGCAAAACAUUGUUUGCCGGUUCGGAGUCCCAUCCAAGCUCACAGUCGACAAUGGCAAACAGUUUGACAGACAGGACUUCAGGGACUUCUGCUUCUCCAUCGGCACCAAGCUUGCCUUCGCCUCAGUAUAUCACCCGCAAUCUAACGGUGUCGUUGAGCGCGCCAACGGCAAGAUUUUCACUGCUAUCAAGAAAAGGCUACUCGACGACAGCAAGGGUAAAUGGGCCGACCAUCUACCUGAAGCAGUCUGGGCGCUAAACACAACCGAAUGCCGAGCGACUAGAUUCACUCCUUUUCGUCUACUGUAUGGAUCGGAGGCCAUGGCCCCGCAGGAAAUAAAGCACGGGUCACAUCGAACAAGUGCAUCAGCCAUCCCCGACAUAGACGAGCCAACGUUCAAAGACCUCAUCGACGGAGACCACGUCUUCGCCCUACAGGCCCUCAACAAAUACCAAGCUCAAACGAAGGCCUAGCACGACCACGCAGUCGUCCCAAGAGAAUUCAACGAAGGAGACCUCGUACUUGUCCGAACCACCCGGAUAGAGUCACGGGGCAAGCUGGAGCCAAAGUGGGAGAAUCCUUUCAUCGUCAAGUCGAAGGCGUCCCCCAGUGCUUACAGGCUAACAACGCCAUCCGACAAAGACCUAGACCACUCUUGGAAUAUUGACAAUCUCCACAAAUUUUUUGUGUAAAUCCUCAGGGCCUACGCGCCCUUGUAAUUCACCAAACAGUACUACUCCGGCCCGUACUCUUUUCCUCCCGGGGGUGAGGUUUUUAACGAGGCGGAGCCAUGUAAUAUACCUGCAAAAAUCCCCCGCAAAAACUCAGAUACAACAUGUCGAAAAAGACCGCAUCGAUGGUCUUCGGCAUUCGACCACUCCGAAGUCACCGCGAGAGGCAGCGCGGAUUACCCUCGCGUGCGACACUCCGCGCAAAAGUCGCUAAGGGUGCAGCUGGAAUAGCACAAUAAGUGUGCAUAAUCGAAGUCUUUUCCAAAUGACUCUACAUGCAAAAGUCGCCUAAGGGUGCAGCCGGAAUAGCGAUAAUCGAAGUCUUUUCCUAAAAGACUCUCCAUGCAAAAGUCGCCUAAGGGUGCAGCUGGAAUAGCGAUAAACAAAGUCUUUUCCAAAAAACUCUCCGUGCAAAAGUCGCCUAAGGGUGCAGCUGGAAUAGCACAAUAAGUGCGCAAAAUCGAAGUCUUUUCCUAAAAGACUCUCCGUGUAGAAGUCGCCUAAGGGUGCAGCCAGAACAACACAAUAAGUGCGCAAAUAACGAAGUCUUUUCCAAAAGACUCUCCAUACAGAAGUCGCCUACGGGUGCAGCCAGAUCAACGAAGGCGCGCAGCCUCAUCAUACAAAUUACAGUUACAUACACAUAGCGAGGGCACCAUAUACUACAUUGGCUCAACCUUCGGAAUGAUACCCAUCUCCCUAUAAUUGAAUAACAUUAUCCUCAAUUCCUCACCCUCAAAAAGAUUUCGCAGCUCCCCUUCACCUAUGCUCGCCCCAAUCGGCGAGGAUAGCAAUUCUUGCCUACCAGUCCGGUCCACGCGAAGACGACCACGCUCCAUCCCAAUACGAUGACCACUUCGCGAUGAUUCACUAACUCUCCGUUUCGCCACCGCCCUUCACCGCCUAUACCCAGUACUCGCACCCGGGAGCCCCCGGAACCCUCCACGCGCGGCGAAGGCUCCACUGCAGCCACAUCUAAUGCCGCAAAAUAAUCCAAGCCUUCAUCCGAGGACUCCUCCGUCCAUGAAAUCGAACUCCCAGAAUCAUCAGACUCAAAACACUUAGACACAGAGCCACAUGAAUCACCAUCGGUAGACACCACGAUUGAGGCCGCCACAAAAAUAGUAUUGUCAGUAGCGGUUGCGUUCGCAGGCCCAAACGUCGAAACCUACGCAGCAACCGAGGUUCAGUAUCACAUAGAAAAUUUACACUUAAACUCCCCAACACCUAUUCAGCCACCUGCGUGGGCCCUGCCACGGCCGUGGGGUCUUCGGCAGCCGGUUCGACCAUCGUCUUCGGGGCGUUCUCGCCCGUUGGCGCGGGGGCUGGCGCGGGGUCUUCGCCAUCUCCAGUCGGUGCGGGGGUCGACGAGGGGCCCUUUCCCGCAUCAGACGGCGGCGCCAGCUCCACCCCGAGGCUUCCGGCAGCGAGGCCUUGGGCAGCGUGCUGUCUAGGUCACCAAGGUCUUCAACCUCCUCGUCACGCGCCAUCUGCAGCAAUAGCUCACUCAUUCAGCAAAACCACACAUACCUACACAUAUAACCACAUAAAAUGAUCCCUUACCUGAUCCAUUGCCCGGUCGGACCUCUCCCAGACCGUCUCUCGACCGUGAGGACCCCACAUCCUAUCGAAGAGAGCCCUCGCCGACCGCUUAAGCACCAGGUCCUUGACCUGGAAGAUUUUGCGUUCGAAGCCUUCGUCGAACUAGUCGAAGACCUCGAAAUGCCCGCACCCCUCGCGGGACAAAGCAUUCACGGCCCCCUCAUAGGUGACGAGGGAGGCGAAGGACAUGACGAUUGUUGGCAGGACCACCAGCUCCUCUUGCAGCCACUCAAGGAAACGGAGGCCCACCUCUUCGCUGGGCGCUUCGAAGGGGGCGGUCCGCGCACCCAGCUCCCGGUACGCAUCCACGAGCUGCGCGUGCGUCCGCUCAACCUCCACGCGCGUCGAGGUCUCGGCUUUAUCCACGCGGCUGCGAAGGCCGCCGAGCUGCGCUUCCAGCUCCUCGGUGCAUUUGCGGGCGAGACUGGCCUCCACCCACGCAAGUUUAGCGUCGGCUUGAGCAGCCUGCGCGUCGGCGAUGGCCUUAUUCGCGUCCCUCCUCUCCCCCGCCAACUGGCGCCGGAGAUCUCCCUUCUCGGCCUCCAUAGCAGCCAACCUCUUCGUCAUCCUGCGGUUUUUACUUUCCGCAGCCGACUUCUCCCGAACAGCAUCCGCAUGCUGCACACGGAGACGCUCGACUUCGGCAGCAAACUCCGCAGUCAGAGCACCCAACGCGACGUGGUCGGCGAAGUCGGCCGCCUGCCACCACAAACCAUGAGACUCACCACCUCAUAAAAACAACGAACUAUUAAAGUCCAACACGACUUACAUGCUUCAGCUGCUGCGACAACUGCUGCGACGCUUGCCUCAGUUGCCGGGACAUAAAGCCUGCCACGUCCUUAGCCGCGGCGGCCGACGAAAUCGCGUCGCUCGCGCAGAAGGCGGACCACGGGUCCUGCGAAGCACCCUUCACGCCUACUGCCACCGUCGGCGAAGUAGCCACCACCGGAGUCAGGACAACAGCCAGUUGCCCCACAUCCAACCCUGCACCACGAUCUUGGUUACGACCUAGUCCAAAAAAAACUUACCACCAAGAUAAUCUCCGACGCAGAUAUCUGUGUCGAAAUCGGCAACACGCGUCGCCGCCUCGUCAGUACGCGACGGCGAGGGCAACUUUUGCCCCUUCGCCGGCUCACCAACGGGUGGCUUGCCCGCGCCAGAAGCAGCAGUCUUCGCACCUGCCGAAGAUUUCCUGGUCCCAGGGGCGGCUGGCUUCGCGGUCGGUGCUGGUUUGCUGCUGCCGGCGGCGGCAGACUUCACGCCCCCUCGUGCUUUCUUUGCCUGACGGAAAGGAUCCCCGAUCCUAACGACCGCCCGGCGCUUCGGCAGCGUCUUGACGAUCCUUCUCCAUCACUACCGAUACAACAACAGCAAUAUUCCGUCCGUAAGGAAAAAUCUUCAAGUCAUGAGCCAUACGAGAUGUAAAAAUGUCUUCGCUAACCGCGCGGAGGAUCGGAACAUUCUUUGGCCAUCGACCCUCGGUAACCCUCAGCAUUCACGCCGAAGACUCCCGGAGCUCGUGCGAAGACAUCCUUCCCCUGAGGGCUGCACACGUCCCCAUCAACUCCAUACCAAAACUGAAAGGGAAAUGUGCCCUUGGGCCAUUUCUAAGUAUUUUGGUGGUUUAGUGCCCAACACAAGUGCCUAAGUGUAAAAAGGUGGACAAAGUAGAAAUCAAGGAUAAAGGUAUGUUUCUCAGACUUAGUACAUUGUUUUAUGGACUAAUGUAUUGUGUCUAAGUGCUGGAAACAGGAAAAAUCCAAUUGAAAAUGUCUUGGCUCGAGCAGCCAAGACUCUGCUGAGUCUGGGAGCACCGGACUGUCCGGUGGUGCACCGAACAGUGUCCGGUGCGCCAGACUGACUCGGGCGAACUGGCCGCUCUCGGGAAUUUACCGGCGACAUACGGCUAUAAUUCACCGGACUGUCUGGUGUGCACCGGACUGUCCGGUGAGCCAACGGUCGGCCGGGCCAACGGUCGGCCGCGCGAUCUGCGCGGGACACGUGGCCGAGCCAACGGCUAGAAGGGGGCACCGGACUGUCCGGUGUGCACCGGACAUGUCCGGUGCGCCAACGGCUCUCUGGCGGCCAACGGUCAGCUGCGCCAUUUUAGGAAAGAAAUCGGGCACCAGACAGUGUCCGGUGUGCACCGGACUGUCCGGUGCACCAGUCGACAGAAGGCAAGAUCAGCCUUCCAGAUUUGCUCUCAACGGCUCCUAGCUACCUUGGGGCUAUAAAAGGGACCCCUAGGCGCAUGGAGGAGUACACCAAGCAUUCCUACAACAUUCCUAAGCACCAAGACAUCGAUUCCGCGCAUUUGGUUCAUUGUGAUAGCAUCUAGAGCUCUUGUUGAAUUGUGAACUCAUUGAGUGGUGUUGCGAGCUCUUGUUGCGACUUGUGUGCGUGCUGUUGCUCUGAUUUUGAGUCUUGUGUGCGUUGCUAGUUCCUCUCUUACUCCGUAUUUCUUUGUGAAUCUCAAGUGUAAGGGCGAGAGGCUCCAAGUUGUGGAGAUUCCUCGCAAACGGGAUAUUGAAAGGCAAAGCAAAACACCAUGGUAUUCAAGUUGGUCUUUGGACCUCUUGAGAGGGGUUGAUUGCAACCCUCGUCCGUUGGGACGCCACAAUGUGGAGUAGGCAAGCGUUGGUCUUGGCCGAACCAUGGGAUAAACCACUGUGUCAUCUCUGUGUUUGAUCUCUUGUGGUAUUGUGUUUUGUUGAGACUCCUCUCUAGCCACUUGGCGAUUAUUGUGCUAACACUUAACAAGUUUUUGUGGCUAUAAGUUUAAGUUUUACAGGAUCACCUAUUCACCCCCCCUCUAGGUGCUCUCAAUUGGUAUCAGAGCCGUUCUCUUCACAAAGGGACUAACCGCCCGAAGAGAUGGAUCCUAAAGGGAAGGGAAUCGUGAUCAACGACAAGGAGAAGGAGUCCUUCGUCAACGAGCCAAGGGAUGACAAGUCCAACGACUCGGGCUCGGGCCACAGACGCAAAGAUGGGAAGAAGAAGAAGACAAGACGCAUCAAGGAGAUCGUCUACUACGACAGCGAUGAGUCUACUUCCUCCCAAAAGGACGACGACCACAACGAAUACGAGAGAAAGAAACCGGUCAAUUCGAACUUUUCUUUUGAUUACUCUCGUAUUCCUCAAAGUACUAAUGCUCAUUUAUUAUCUAUUCCACUUGGUAAACCUCCUCAUUUUGAUGGAGAGGACUACGGAUUUUGGAGUCACAAAAUGCGUAGUCACUUGUUCUCUCUCCAUCCUAGCAUAUGGGAGAUUGUAGAAAGUGGAAUGCACUUUGAUAGUACGGAUAGUCCCAUGUUUAUUAAUGAACAGAUUCAUAAAAAUGCACAAGCUACUACUGUGUUGCUAGCCUCUUUGUGCAGGGACGAGUACCAUAAGGUGAGCGGCUUGGACAAUGCCAAGCAGAUCUGGGACACCCUCAAGAUCUCUCAUGAGGGGAAUGAUGUCACCUUGCUCACCAAGAUGGAGUUGGUGGAGGGCGAGCUUGGACGGUUCACAAUGAUAAGGGGCGAGGAACCAACUCAAACAUACAACCGGCUCAAGACCCUUAUCAACAAAAUAAGGAGCUACGGAAGCACGCGAUGGACGGAUCACGACGUCGUCCGCCUAAUGCUAAGGUCCUUUACCGUUCUUGAUCCUCAUUUGGUGAACAAUAUUCGUGAAAAUCCUAGGUACACCAAGAUGUCGCCCGAAGAAGUUCUGGGGAAGUUUGUAAGCGGGCGAAUGAUGAUCAAGGAGGCAAGAUAUGUGGACGACGCGUUGAACGGUCCUAUUCAUGAGCCUCAACCCAUUGCUCUCAAGGCAACGAGGAGCAAGGAGGUGCUAUCGAGCAAGGUGGCGCAAGUUGAGGCGGCCGGGCUAAAUAAUGAGGAGAUGGCCCUCAUCAUUAAGCGCUUCAAGACGGCGCUUAAAGGUCGCAAGGGACAGCCAAGCAAGACCAAGACAAAGGAGAAGCGCUCGUGCUUCAAAUGUGGAAGAUUGGUCAUUUCAUUGCUAACUGUCCCGAUAAUGAAAGUGACCAGGAAAAGGGGAACAAAAGGGAGAAGAAGAAGCAUUACAAGAAGGCCAAGGGUGAGGCACAUAUCGGAAAGGAGUGGGAUUCAGAUUGCUUCUCCUCCGACUCCGACAAUGAAGGACUCGCCGCCACCGCCUUCAACAAGUCAUCCCUCUUCCCCAACGAGCGUCACACUUGCCUCAUGGCAAGGGAGAAGAAAGUAAGCACUCAUGAUACUAGUACUUAUGCUUCUUCAAGUGAGGAUGAGUCUAGUGAUGAUGAUGAGAUAGAUUACUCAUGCUUAUUCAAGGGAUUAGAUAGAUCUAAAAUUAAUAAGAUUAAUGAGUUGAUUGAUGCUUUGAAUGACAAGAAUAGAUUACUAGAAAAACAAGAGGAUCUUUUAUAUGAGGAGCAUGAUAAAUUUGUUAGUGCACAAAAUUCUCUUGCUCUAGAAAUUAAAAGGAAUGAAAUGCUCUCUACUAAAUUAUCUACUUGUCAUGAAUCCAUCUCUAAAUUAAAAAGUGUUAAUGAUGAUUUGAAUGCUAAGUUAGAAAUAGCUAGUAAAUCAACAUCUUGUGUAGAAAUUGUUGAAACUUGCAAUAGGUGCAAAGAUUUUGACAUUGAUGCUUGUAGUGAACACCUAGUUUCAAUUUCCAAACUUAAUGAUGAAUUGGCUAGUCUUAAUGCUCAACUUAAGACUAGCAAGAGUAAUUUUGAUAAGCUAAAAUUUGCAAGGGAUGCCUACACAAUUGGUAGACACCCCUCAAUUAAGGAUGGACUUGGCUACAAGAAGGAAGCCAAGAACUUGACAAGCCAUAAGGCUCCCAUCUCCGCCAAGGAGAAAGGGAAGGCCCCUAUGGCUAGUAGUGUGCAAAAGAACCAUGCCUUUAUGUACCAUGAUAGGAGACAAUAUAGAAAUGCUUAUAGGAGAUGUAACGCAUAUGAUGCUUUUGAUUCUCAUGACAUGUUUGCUUCUAGUUCUUCUUAUGUGCAUGAUAGAAAUGUUGGUAGGAGAAAUGUUGUUCAUAAUAUGCCUAGGAGAAAUGUUGUUAAUGUUCCUAGGAAAGUAAUGAAUGAACCCUCUACAAUUUAUCAUGCUUUAAAUGCUUCCUUUGCUAUUUGUAGAAAGGAUAGGAAAAUAGUUGCUAGGAAGUUAGGGGCAAAAUGCAAGGGAGACAAAACUUGCAUUUGGGUCCCUAAGAAUAUUUGCACUAACCUUGUAGGACCCAACAUGAGUUGGGUACCUAAGACCCAAGCCUAAAUUUGCCUUGCAGGUUUAUGCAUCCGGGGGUUCAAGCUGGAUUAUCGACAGCGGAUGCACAAACCAUAUGACGGGGGAGAAGAAGAUGUUUACCUCCUACGUCAAGAAUAAGGAUUCCCAAGAUUCAAUUAUAUUCGGUGAUGGGAAUCAAGGCAAGGUAAAAGGGUUAGGUAAAAUUGCAAUUUCUAAUGAGCACUCUAUCUCCAAUGUGUUUUUAGUUGAGUCUCUUGGUUACAAUUUGCUAUCUGUUAGUCAACUAUGCAAUAUGGGAUAUAAUUAUCUUUUUACAAAUGUAGAUGUGUAUGUCUUUAGAAGAAGUGAUGGUUCACUAGCCUUUAAGGGUGUAUUAGACGGCAAGCUUUACUUAGUUGAUUUUGCAAAAGAAGAGGCCGGUCUAGAUGCAUGCUUAAUUGCUAAGACUAGCAUGGGCUGGUUGUGGCAUCGCCGCUUAGCACAUGUGGGGAUGAAGAACCUUCACAAGCUUCUAAAGGGAGAACACGUGAUAGGUUUGACUAACGUGCAAUUCGAAAAAGAUAGACCUUGUGCAGCUUGUCAAGCAGGUAAACAAGUGGGAGGAGCGCAUCACAGCAAGAAUGUGAUGACCACUUCAAGACCCCUGGAGCUACUACAUAUGGACCUCUUCGGACCCGUCGCCUAUCUAAGCAUAGGAGGAAGUAAGUAUGGUCUAGUUAUUGUUGAUGACUUUUCCCGCUUCACUUGGGUAUACUUUUUGCAGGAUAAAUCUGAAACCCAAGGGACCCUCAAACGCUUCCUCAGGAGAGCUCAAAAUGAGUUUGAACUCAAGGUGAAGAAGAUAAGGAGCGACAACGGGUCCGAGUUCAAGAACCUUCAAGUGGAGGAGUUCCUUGAGGAGGAAGGGAUCAAGCACGAGUUCUCCGCUCCCUACACACCACAGCAAAAUGGUGUGGUAGAGAGGAAGAAUAGGACGCUAAUCGAUAUGGCAAGGACGAUGCUUGGAGAAUUCAAGACCCCCGAGCGUUUUUGGUCAGAAGCCGUGAACACGGCUUGCCACGCCAUCAACAGGGUCUACCUUCAUCGCCUCCUCAAGAAGACUUCGUAUGAGCUACUAACCGGUAACAAACCCAAUGUAUCUUACUUUCGUGUAUUUGGGAGCAAGUGCUACAUUCUAGUAAAGAAGGGUAGAAAUUCUAAAUUUGCUCCCAAAGCUGUAGAAGGGUUUUUGUUAGGUUAUGACUCAAAUACAAAGGCGUAUAGAGUCUUCAACAAAUCAUCGGGUUUGGUUGAAGUCUCUAGCGACGUUGUAUUUGAUGAGACUAAUGGCUCUCCAAGAGAGCAAGUUGUUGAUCUUGAUGAUGUAGAUGAAGAAGACGUUCCAACGGCCGCUAUGCGCACCAUGGCGAUUGGUGAUGUGCGACCACAGAAACAAUUGGAGCAAGAUCAACCUUCUUCCUCAACAAUGGUGCAUCCCCUAACUCAAAACGAUGAACAGGUUCAUCGAGAGGAAUGUGAUCAAGGGGGAGCACAAGAUGAUCAUGUGAUGGAGGAAGAAGCACAACCGGCACCUCCAACCCAAGUUCGAGCGAUGAUUCAAAGGGAUCAUCUCGUCGACCAAAUUCUGGGUGACAUUAGCAAGGGAGUAACUACUCGAUCUCGAUUAGUUAAUUUUUGUGAGCAUUACUCCUUUGUCUCUUCUAUUGAGCCUUUCAGGGUAGAGGAGGCCUUGCUAGAUCCGGACUGGGUAUUGGCCAUGAAGGAGGAGCUCAACAACUUCAAGAGAAAUGAAGUUUGGACGCUGGUGCCUCGUCCCAAGCAAAAUGUUGUGGGAACCAAGUGGGUGUUCCGCAACAAACAAGACGAGCACUGGGUGGUGACAAGGAACAAGGCUAGACUUGUGGCAAAAGGUUAUGCCCAAGUCGCAGGUUUGGACUUUGAGGAGACUUUUGCUCCUGUGGCUAGGCUAGAAUCAAUUCGUAUCUUGCUAGCAUAUGCCGCUCACCAUUCCUUCAGGUUGUUCCAAUUGGAUGUGAAGAGCGCUUUCCUCAACGGGCCGAUCAAGGAGGAGGUGUAUGUGGAGCAACCCCUUGGCUUCGAGGAUGAACGGUACCCCAACCACGUGUGUAAGCUCUCUAAGGCGCUCUAUGGACUUAAGCAAGCCCCAAGAGCAUGGUAUGAAUGCCUUAGAGACUUUCUAAUUGUUAAUGCUUUCAAGGUUGGGAAAGCUGAUCCAACUCUUUUUACUAAGACAUGUGAUGGUGAUUUGUUUGUGUGCCAAAUUUAUGUCGAUGACAUAAUAUUUGGUUCUACUAACCAAAAGUCUUGUGAAGAGUUUAGCAGUGUGAUGACUCAGAAAUUCGAGAUGUCGAUGAUGGGCGAGUUGAACUACUUCCUUGGGUUCCAAGUGAAGCAACUCAAGGACGACACCUUCAUCUCCCAAACGAAGUACACGCAAGAUCUGCUAAAGCGGUUUGGGAUGAAGGACGCCAAGCCCGCAAAGACUCCGAUGGGGACCGACGGACACACCGACCUCAACAAAGGAGGUAAGUCCGUUGAUCAAAAAGCAUACCGGUCAAUGAUAGGGUCUUUACUUUAUUUAUGUGCUAGUAGACCGGAUAUAAUGCUUAGCGUAUGCAUGUGUGCUAGAUUUCAAUCCGAUCCUAAGGAGUGUCACUUAGUGGCGGUGAAGCAAAUUCUUAGAUAUUUGGUUGCUACGCCUUGCUUCGGGCUCUGGUAUCCAAAGGGGUCUACCUUUGACUUGGUUGGAUACUCAGAUUCCGACUAUGCUGGAUGUAAGGUCGAUAGGAAGAGUACAUCAGGGACGUGCCAAUUCUUAGGAAGGUCCCUGGUGUCGUGGAACUCUAAGAAACAAACCUCCGUUGCCCUAUCCACCGCUGAGGCCGAGUAUGUUGCCGCAGGACAGUGUUGCGCGCAACUACUUUGGAUGAGGCAAACCCUUCGGGACUUUGGCUACAAUCUGAGCAAAGUCCCACUCCUAUGUGACAAUGAGAGUGCUAUCCGCAUGGCGGAAAAUCCUGUUGAACACAGCCGCACAAAGCACAUUGACAUCCGGCAUCACUUUCUGAGAGACCACCAGCAAAAGGGAGAUAUCGAAGUGUUUCAUGUUAGCACCGAGAACCAGCUAGCCGAUAUCUUUACCAAGCCUCUAGAUGAGAAGACCUUUUGCAGGCUGCGUAGUGAGCUAAAUGUCUUAGAUUCGCGGAACUUGGAUUGAAUUGUAGCAUACAUGUGUUUAUGCCUUUGAUCAUGUUCAUUCUGCAUUGUGUUGCUUAUUAUGGUGCUCAAGUUGUACAAGCACUCCCCGGACCUCACAAGUCCUUGUGCCAGUAAUGCACAUAUUUAGGGGGAGAUGUGUUACAACUUGACCCUUUGAGACUAACCAUAUGCUUGAGUUUGCUUGAUUUAGUCUCGAAGGAGAAUUGAAAGGGAAAAGGUGGACUUGGACCAUGCAAGACUUCCACUACACUCCGAUGAAAAGAGUAACUUUUCCAAGUUCAUCUUUAAACUCUUAUUGCCUAUUUGCUCUUAAUUGAAGAUUUUGGUGAGGCAAUGGGGUUAAAGGGCCAAGAUUGAUCCCGUUUUGGUGCUUGAUGCCAAAGGGGGAGAAAAUAAAGGCCAAAGCAAUAGAUGGAUCAGCUACCACUUGAGAAACUUUGAAAAUAGUAGAAUAGAACUUUUGGUUUGGCAAAACUCUUGCAUUGUCUCUUUUGUCAAAAGUUGGCCUCUUGUGGGGAGAAGUGUUGAUUAUGAAAAAAGGGGAGUUUUUGAAAUCCUUGAUCAAAUUUCUUUGGAAAACCUCUCUUUAUGUCUCUACAAGUGGAUUUGACUUAGAGAUAGGAAUUUGAGUUUGAUUUGCAAAAACAAACCAAGUGGUGGCAUAGAGUGAUCCAUAUAUGUCAAAUUUGAAUCAAAACAAUUUGAGUUCUUAUUUGAAUUGAUUUUGUAUUUGUUCUACUUGCUUUAUAUUGUGUUGGCAUAAAUCACCAAAAAGGGGGAGAUUGAAAGGGAAAUGUGCCCUUGGGCCAUUUCUAAGUAUUUUGGUGGUUUAGUGCCCAACACAAGUGCCUAAGUGUAAAAAGGUGGACAAAGUACAAAUCACGGAUAAAGGUAUGUUUCUCAGACUUAGUACAUUGUUUUAUGGACUAAUGUAUUGUGUCUAAGUGCUGGAAACAGGAAAAAUCCAAUUGAAAAUGUCUUGGCUCGAGCAGCCAAGACUCUGCUGAGUCUGGGAGCACUGGACUGUCCGGUGGUGCACCGGACAGUGUCCGGUGCGCCAGACUGACUCGGGCGAACUGGCCGCUCUCGGGAAUUUACCGGCGACAUACGACUAUAAUUCACCGGACUGUCCGGUGUGCACCGGACUGUCCGGUGAGCCAACGGUCGGCCGGGCCAACGGUCGGCCGCGCGAUCUGCGCGGGACACGUGGCCGAGCCAACGGCUAGAAGGGGGCACCGGACUGUCCGGUGUGCACCGGACAUGUCCGGUGCGCCAACGGCUCUCUGGCGGCCAACGGUCAGCUGCGCCGUUUUAGGAAAGAAAUCGGGCACCGGACAGUGUCCGGUGUGCACCGGACUGUCCGGUGCACCAGUCGACAGAAGGCAAGAUCAGCCUUCCAGAUUUGCUCUCAACGGCUCCUAGCUGCCUUGGGGCUAUAAAAGGGACCCCUAGGCGCAUGGAGGAGUACACCAAGCAUUCCUACAACAUUCCUAAGCACCAAGACAUCGAUUCCGCGCAUUUGGUUCAUUGUGAUAGCAUCUAGAGCUCUUGUUGAAUUGUGAACUCAUUGAGUGGUGUUGCGAGCUCUUGUUGCGACUUGUGUGCGUGCUGUUGCUCUGAUUUUGAGUCUUGUGUGCGUUGCUAGUUCCUCUCUUACUCCGUAUUUCUUUGUGAAUCUCAAGUGUAAGGGCGAGAGGCUCCAAGUUGUGGAGAUUCCUCGCAAACGGGAUAUUGAAAGGCAAAGCAAAACACCGUGGUAUUCAAGUUGGUCUUUGGACCGCUUGAGAGGGGUUGAUUGCAACCCUCGUCCGUUGGGACGCCACAACGUGGAGUAGGCAAGCGUUGGUCUUGGCCGAACCACGGGAUAAACCACUGUGUCAUCUCUGUGUUUGAUCUCUUAUGGUAUUGUGUUUUGUUGAGACUCCUCUCUAGCCACUUGGCGAUUAUUGUGCUAACACUUAACAAGUUUUUGUGGCUAUAAGUUUAAGUUUUACAGGAUCACCUAUUCACCCCCCCUCUAGGUGCUCUCAAAAACUAUCAGAGACUCCAAGUCCCCCCACUACAGUACUUAUUUUCCUCUUCUUAGUUCCUGGGGCAGCCUCCUGCGAGGGGCCUUCAUCAGUCAUGGCCAUUGGUCUCUUCCCGCGGCGGUCGACGACCACGGCAGCGUCAUCCCCGAAAUAACCGCCGUACGGCAAACGAUUCAACUCGAAAACCCUAUUCAGGCGGACGUUGGAUCCAUGGAUAUCCCAACUCCGCAGAGCCUCAGUCCUCGGCACAUAACGCCCCACAAUCCGCACUGCCCCGUCUUCCACUUCACGCACGAAUGCGGCUGGAUCCCGGCCACACAAAUCCAACACGAAGGCCGGACUUCACACUAGCUGCUUGCCCAGUGAGGGCAUCUGGCGAGGGCAUACUUCGCCUAACGCCCAGCCAUGCGCCAAGGGCCAUACUCCAUAACCGAUGAAUUCCUCAACUAAAUCAUGCCUGCUACUCAUGCGGGCAGCACAACGAAGGGCCUCUUCGUCACUAUCAUCCUCCACCACCUCAAACGACGGGAACGCCACACAGCAGUGGGAGCACAACACGACUGCCGGGAGUCCAGGGAGGUCUUCGACCUCGCCUACCGCCACAUAAAACCAAUAAUCAUACCAGUUGCCCCACUUGUUGCGGGCGUAGGGAACUAACUCAACAACUUCUGCCGCUGAUUCCUAGUCCUCGGCGUAAAGGUGCAUGACCCAAACUGUGCAAUCUUGCUUCCAAUUUUUCUCUUCUGCCAGUGCAAACAGUAAUUCUUGGCGAAGAACUCUACGGAGGGCUGACCGCUGUACGAAGUCACUGCCCAGACAUACUUCGCUAGGGCCACCACAACAUUAGGUGUCAAUUGAUGGAUCUGCACGUCAUACCUCCGCAACACUUCCACCACAAAACAAUGUGCAGGCAACCGAAGGCCGGCAGUGAAAAAUGCCUCGAACACAACCAUCUCACCCUCCGACUCAGGAAUCUCUUCCACCCCCAGAACUCGGCCAACUCCAUUCCCAAAAUACCCCAACCGGUGCAUGUCUUGCACACGAACCGAGGAGAUCCUCGAAACACCGAAUUCCACCGUGUGGCCCGGGUGUAGCUCCACUGCCGCCAAAUCACUGAAGGUACCCUCGGACGACGAUUCGCCCAACAGCGUAGUCGCAACGGAUGAAGAAGAAGACGGCAUGGCUACGUACCGUCGGCUGCGGCGCGCGGUCUGCUUGACGCGGGCCAGUUCUCCGGUGAACAGGAGCAAGGAGGGCAGGCGAGCGGGCGGUCGGUUUCAAAAUGCUAGGGUUUUGCGGCGCACAGAAAGGUAAUAGAGCCUGAGCCGUGCCACCCCCUUUUUAUACAAGGGCGCGACGCCUCGGGAAGCCCGCAGUCCAAAAGUACCGCGUCCGUCAACGGUCACAUCAAAAACCCCCGCGGAACCACUUCGAGCGAGGGCAGUGUCUCCACCAUCUAGCGACGUCUUCAGCACCAGAUGACUCAGUCGAACUAGUCCCUCGGAGGGCAAAUGUUGGGGCAAAGCCGAAGACGCUACCCUUCGCUCCAGGCCUUCGUCAACUCGCUGCACCGACGGAGGCAAGAUGACCAGCGCAGCCCACCCUUCGUCCUCUUCACUGCAAGACGAAGGCCUACGACGAAGUCUCUCCAUCCUGCGUCCUCGGUCCUACCUGGAGGCCCACGUGGGAUUCGGCCCAUCGUAACAGGCCCCGCACGGACAGGCGUGUUACAGACCUGAUUUGUAAUAGCUUUUCUGUAAUGACAGUUUGUAACCCUCCUUUAUGAGAAUAUUCUGGGGAUAAUCCAGGUGUCUGAGGGCAUAAGCGUCCUUACAUCGGAACGUUGGGCGCUCGGGCACCUAUAAAUAGCCCCGUACAAUACCCUUGAGAGGCUGGAUUAACAGAGCAAUCGCCAUCUCGAGUAAAACCUUACUUGCAUCCUUUCCACUCCCCCAUUGGAUCAACUUGCCCAGGAGUGCAAGUUCCAACAAUUAGUCUUAGCCUUGGCACAAGAAGAAUAAGAAAUAUGUAUAUGUACCAAAUGAAAGAGAUAUGAUCAAAGGUAUAUAAAUGAGCUAUGUGUGCAAUAUUUCAAUCAAAAUUCUGAGAAUCAAGAAUAUUUAGCUCAUUCCUAAGUUUGCUAAAGGUUUUCUCAUCUAGUGGCUUGGUAAAGAUAUUAGCUAAUUGGUCUUUGGUGUUAACAUAAGCUAUUUCGAUAUCCCCUUUUGUUGGUGAUCUCUCAGAAAGUGAUACCGAAUGUCUAUGUGCUUAGUGCGGCUGUGUUCAAUGAGAUUGUCCGCCAUGCAGAUUGCACUCUCAUUAUCACAUAGGAGAGGGACUUUGCUCAAUUUGUAACCAUAGUCAGUGAGGGUUUGCCUCAUCCAAAGUAAUUGCGCACAACAAUGUCCUGCGGCAAUAUACUUGGCUUCGGUGGUAGAAAGAGCUACUGAGUUUUGUUUCUUUGAAGCCCAAGACACCAGGGAUCUCUCCAAAAACUGACAAGUCUCUUAUGUGCUCUUCCUAUCAAUUUUACACCCUGCCCAAUUGGCAUCGGAAUAUCCUAUUAAAUCAAAAGUGGAUCCCUUGGGGUGCCAAAGCCCAAACUUAGGAGUGUAAACUAAGUAUGUCAUGAUUCUCUUCACGACCCUAAGGUGAACUUCCUUAGGAUCGGCUUGGAACCUUGCACACAUGCAUACGGAAAGCAUAAUAUCCGGUUGAGAUGCACAUAAAUAGAGUAAAGAUCCUAUCAUCGACCGGUAUACCUUUUGAUCUACGGAUUUACCUCCCGUGUCGAGGUCGAGAUGCCCAUUGGUUCCCAUGGGUGUCUUGAUGAGUUUAGCAUCCUUCAUUCCAAACUUUUUAAGAAUGUCUUGAAUGUACUUGGUUUUGCUGAUGAAGGUGCCAUCCUGGAGUUGCUUGAUUUGAAAUCCUAAGAAAUAUCUCAACUCCCCCAUAUUGAUAUCUCGAAUUUUUGUACCAUGAUCCUACUUAACUCUUCACAAGUAGAUUUGUUAGUAGACCCAAAUAUAAUAUCAUCAACAUAAAUUUGGCAUACAAAUAAAUCAUUUGCAACAGUUUUAGUAAAGAGAGUAGGAUCGACCUUGUCGACUUUGAAGCAAUUAGUGAUUAGAAAAUCUCAUAGGCAUUCAUACCAUGCUCUUGGGGCUUGCUUGAGCCCAUAAAGCGCCUUUGAGAGUUUAUAGACAUGGUUAGGGUACUCACUAUCUUCAAAGCCGAGAGGUUGCUCAACAUAGACCUCUUCCUUGAUUGGUCCAUUGAGGAAGGCACUUUUCACGUCCAUUUGAUAGAGCUUAAAGCCAUGGUAAGUAGCAUAGGCAAGUAAUAUGCGAAUUGACUCAAGCCUAGCUACGGGUGCAUAGGUUUCAUCGAAAUCCAAACCUUUGACUUGUGAAUAACCCUUGGCCACAAGUCGAGCUUUGUUCCUUGUCACCACACCAUGCUCAUCUUGCUUGUUGUAGACUACCCAUUUGGUACCUACAACAUUUUGAUUAGGACAUGGAACUAAAUUCCAUGCCUUAUUCCUCGUGAAGUUGUUGAGCUCCUCUUGCAUAGCCACCACCCAAUCCGAAUCUCUUAAUGCAUCCUCUACCCUGUAUGGCUUAAUAGAGGAAACAAAAGAGUAAUGUUCACAGAAAUGAGCAACACGAGAUCUAGUUGUUACCCCCUUAUGAAUGUCACCAAGGAUGGAGUUGACGGGGUGAUCUCGUUGAAUUGCUUGGUGGACUCUCGGGUGUGGCGGUCUUUGACCCUGUAUCUCUUGAGCAUCUUCCUUGUCUUCAAUUUCUUCAUCUCCCCCUUGAUCAUUGCCCUCCUCUUGAGGUUGCUCAUCCUCUUUAUCUUCUUCUUCAUUAUUUUGAUCCUUAUCCUCAUCUUGGGUUGGUGGAGAUGCUUGAUUGAAAAAUGAUGGUUGAUCUUGUGCUUGUGGAGGCUCUUUGGAUUCCUUAGGACACACAUCCUCAAUGGACAUGUUCCUUAGCGUGAUGCACGGAGCCUCUUCAUCAUCUAGUUCAUCAAGAUCAACUUGCUCUACUUGAGACCCGUUAGUCUCAUCAAACACAAUGUCACAAGAAACUUCAACUAAUCCAGUGGAUUUGUUGAAGACUCCAUAUGCCCUUGUGUUUGAGUCAUAACCUAGUAAAAAACCUUCUAUAGCCUUAGGAGCAAAUUUAGAUUUUCUACCUCUUUUAACAAGAAUAAAACAUUUACUCCCAAAGGCUCUAAAAUAUGAAACAUUGGGCUUUUUACCGGUAAGGAGUUCGUAUAAUGUUUUCUUGAGGAUUCGGUGAAGGUAGAGCCGGUUGAUGGAGUAGCAAGCAGUGUUGAUUGCUUCUGCCCAAAACUGGUCCAGUGUCUUGUAUUCAUCAAGCAUGGUCCUUGCCAUGUCCAGUAGAGUUCUAUUCUUCCUCUCCACUACACCAUAUUGUUGAGGUGUGUAGGGAGAAGAGAACUCAUGCUUGAUGCCCUCAUCCUCAAGAAAUCCUUCUAUUUGUGAAUUCUUGAACUCCGUCCCAUUGUCGCUUCUAAUCUUUUUGAUCCUCAAUCCAAACUCAUUUUGAGUCCACCUCUAGAAUCCUUUUAAGGUCUCUUGGGUCUGUGAUUUUUCCUACAAAAAGAAUACCCAAGUGAAGCGAGAAUAAUCAUCCACAAUUACUAGACAGUACUUACUCCUGCCGAUGCUUAUGUAAGCUAUCGGGCCGAAUAGAUCCAUGUGGAGUAGCUCUAGUGGCCUGUCCGUUGUCAUUAUGUGCAUGUGUGGAUGAUGAGCGCCAACUUGCUUUCCUGCUUGACAUGCGCUACAAAUGCUGUCUUUCUCAAAAUGAACAUUUGUUAGUCCCAAAAUGUGUUCUCCCUUUAGAAGCUUGUGAAGAUUCUUCAUUCCAACAUGGGCUAGUCGACGAUGCCAGAGCCAACCCAUAUUAGUCUUAGCAAUUAAGCAAGUGUUGAGUUCAGCUAUGUUCUCAUUAAAAUCAACUAAAUAUAGCUGACCCUCUAACAUUACUUUAAAUGCUAUUGGAUCAUCACUUCUUCUAAAGACAGUAACACCUAUAUCACUAAAAAGACAGUUGUAACCCAUUUUGCAUAAUUGAGAAACUGAAAGCAAGUUAUAAUCUAAUGAGUGUACAAGAAAAACAUUAGAAAUAGAAUGGUCAGGUGAUAUAACUAUUUUACCCAAUCCUUUGACCAAACCUUGAUUUCCAUCCCCGAAUGUGAUAGCUCGUUGGGGAUCUUCGUUUUUCUCAUAGGAGGAGAACAUUCUCUUCUCCUCUGUCAUGUGGUUUGUGCAUUCGCUAUCAAUUAUCUAGCUUGAGCCCCCAGAUGCAUAAACCUACAAAACAAUUUAGGCCUUGUUCUUAGGUAUCCAAACAGUCUUGGGUCCUUUCACGUUAGAAACAAGCACCUUGGGUACCCAAACACAAGUCUUAGGACUCUUGUGUUUGCCCCAACGAAUUUGGCAACUAUUUUGCCCCAACAUAAGAAGCAUCAAAAGUUUUAAAUGAAAUGUUAUGAUCAUUUGAUGCAGCAGGAGUUUUCUUUUUAGGCAUUUUAACAUGAGUACAAUGCCUAGAGCUAGAAGCCUCAUUUUUAUAUGUAAAUGCAUGGUGAGAAACAUUAUGAGGUUUUCUAGCAUGAAUCCUCCUAUUUUUGUGCUCAAGAUAAUUAGCGAGAUAUAAAAUGUAGCCCUCAUUAUUCUAAACCAUGGAUGCCUUGCCCUUAACAAAAUUUGACAGCUUCUUAGGGGCAAUGAGCUUGACAUUGCUUCCAUGUUGGAAACCAAUGCCAUCCUUAAUGCCAGGGCGUCUCCCAUUAUAGAGCAUGCUUCUAGCAAAUUUAAAUUUUUCAUUUUCAAGUUCAUGCUCAUUAAUUUUAGCAGUUAAUUGAGCUAUAUGAUUAUUUUGUUGUUUAAUUAGAGCAAGGUGGUCAUUUAUAGCAUCAAUAUUAACAUCUCUACAUCUAGUGCAAAUAGAAACAUUUUCAACAAUCGAUGUAGAAGGUUUGCAAACAUUUAAUUCUUCUAUCUUAGCAUGUAAUAUGUCAUUCUCAUCUCUAAGACAUGAAAUAGAAUCAUUGCAAACAUUUAAAUCUUUAAUCUUAGAAACAAAAUCAUCAUUUUCAGUUCUAAGACUAGAAAUUGCAUCAUUCAAUUUAUCAAUCUUAGCAUUUAGACUAGCAUUAUCAUUUCUAAGACAGAUAAUUGAAUCAUUGCAAGUGCUAAGCUCCUUAGUCAAGUUUUCAUUUUUCUCUACUUCCUGAGCAUAAGCAUUUUUUUACUUUAACAUGCUUUUUGUUUUCUUUAAUAAGGAAUUCCUCUUGGUUGUCCAAGAGUUCAUCCUUCUCAUGAAUGGCUCCUAUCAAUUCAUGCAAUUUUUCUUUUUGUUCCAUGUUGAGGUUAGCAAAAAGAGUAAGUAAAUCAUCUUCGUCUUCACUAGAACUACCCUCAUCACUAGAUGUUGUAUACUUGGGGGUGGUUCUAGAUUGUACCUUCUUCUUUUUGCCGUCCUUGGCCAUGAAACAUUUGUGGCUGACGUUGGGGAAGAGGAGGCCCUUGUUGACGGCGAUGUUGGCGGCGUCCUCAUCGGAGGAGGAGUCGGUGGAGCUCUCAUCGGAGUCCCAUUCCCGACACACGUGGGCAUCGCCGCCCUUCUUCUUGUAGUACCUUUUCUUUUCUUUCUUCGUCCCCUUCUUGUCAUCGCCCCUAUUACUAUCACUAGACAUUGGACAUUUAGCAAUAAAAUGACCGGGCUUACCACACUUGUAGCACACCCUCUUGGAGCGGGGUUUGUAGUCUUUCCCCCUCAUUUGCUUGAGGAUUUGGCGGAAGCUCUUGAUGAUGAGCGCCAUCCCCUCAUUGUCGAGCUUGGAGGCGUCGAUGGGAAGCCUACUUGGUGUAGACUCCUUUUCUUCUUCCAUCGCCUUGAACGCGACGGGUUGCACCUCGGGUGUGGAGGUGGCGCCUUGCUCCAAGUUGACGAUGUGUUUGGAGUCUUUGAUCAAUAGUUCAAAGCUCACAAACUUUCCUAUCACUUCCUUGGGAGACAUUAAUUUGUAUCUAGGAUCUCCACGGUUUAGUUGCACUUGAGUAGGAUUGCGAAAAACAAGAGAUCUUAGAAUAACCUUGACCAUCUCAUGGUCAUCCCAUUUGGUGCUCCUGAGGUUGCGCACUUGGUUCACCAUUGUUUUGAGCCGGUUGUACAUUGCUUGUGGCUCUUCUCCUUGGUUGAGGACGAAUCUGCCGAGCUCCCCCUCGAUCGUCUCUCUUUUGGUGAUCUUGGUCACCUCGUCCCCUUCGUGCGUCGUCUUGAGGACGUCCCAAAUUUCUUUGGCGGUCUUUAAUCCUUGCACCUUAUUAUACUCCUCUCGACACAAGGAGGCGAGGAGUAUAUUUGUGGCUUGGGAGUUAAAGUGCCUAAUUUGGGCGACCUCGUCCGAGUCGUAGUCCUUGUCCCCUCCUUAAGUACCUGCACUCCAAACUCAACAAUAUCCCAAAUGAUUGCAUGGAGUGAGGUUAGGUGAUGCCUCAUCUUAUCACUCCACAUACAAUAAUCCUCACCAUCAAAAUAUGGUGGUUUGCUUAGGGGAACGGAAAGUAACGGAGUGCGCUUAGAAAUGCGAGGAUAGCGGAGGGGCAUCUUACUAUACUUCUUGCGCUCAUGGCGCUUAGAAGUAGUGGACGACGAGACGGAGCCGGAGGUGGAGGGCGACGAUGAGUCGGUCUCAUAGUAGACCACUUUCUUCAUAUUCUUCUUGUCGCUUCUCCGAUGGGUUUUGUUGGAGGAAGAGGAUUCCUCCUUAUGCUUGUGGCCGGAUUCCCUUGAGAGGGUCCUCCCCGAGCUUACGGGCUUGUCGCCGGUCAUGAUCUCCCUCUUGGCAUGAUCUCCCAACAUCACUUCGAGUUGGUAGACUCUAAUGAAGCAUCGGGCUCUGAUACCAAUUGAAAGUCGCCUAGAGGGGGGGUGGAUAGGCGAAACCUGAAAUUUAUAAACUUAAGCACACACUACAAGCCGGGGUUAGCGUUAGAAUUAAAACCGAGUCCAGGAGAUAGGGGAAAACAAAUCAACCAAGAGAUAAAGCGAGUGAACACGGUGAUUUGUUUUACCGAGGUUUGGUUCUCAAAAACCUAGUCCCCAUUGAGGUGGUCACAAAGACCGGGUCUCUUUCAACCAUUUCCCUCUUUCAAACGAUCACUUAGACCGAGUGAGCUUUCUCCUUAAUUCUCACGGGUCACUUAGACCCCGCAAGGACCACCACAUAAUUGGUGUCUCUUACCUUGCUUACAAAACACUUGGGAACAAGAAUGAGGAAGGAAGAAAGCGAUCCAAGCAACAAGAGCGCAAAGAACACGAACAAACUCUCUCUUAAGUCACUAGGUGGUUGGAAGGAAUUCUAGACUUGGAGAGGCUUUGAUCAUUUGGAAAUGUGUCUCGGAGUGAAUGCACUAGCUCUUGUAUUGAAUGUGAAGUGCUGGAAACUUGGAUGCUUGAUCAAGUGGUGGUGGUUGGGGGUAUUUACAGCCCUCAACCACCAAACAACCGUUGGGGCAGUCUGCUGUCGAUGGGCGCACCGGACAGUAUGGUGCGCCACCGGACACUGUCUGGCGCGCCAGCCACGUCACCCAACCGUUAGGGUUCUGGAGCAUUUGACCGUUGGAGGCUUUGUCCUCUAGUGGCACCGGAUAGUCUGGUGCUUUACCGGACAGGUCCUGUUCACUGUCCGGUGCGCCUUUGACUUCUGCUCUGACUUCUACCGCGCACUGUAGCGCACUGUAGCGUUUUGUAGAGUCGACCGUUGCGUGAAGGAGCCGUUGCUCCGCUGGUGCACCGGACAGUUCGGUGGCACAUCGGACAGUCCGGUGAAUUAUAGCGGAGCGUGCCUAGAGAAACCCGAGAGUGGCUAGUUCAUUUUUGUACGGUCCUGGUGCACCGGACACUGUCCGGUGGCACACUGGAUAGUCCAGUGCGCCAGACCAUAGCACACUCAGUUUCUUUGCUCCUUUGUAUUUGAACCCUAUCUUGAAUAUUUAUUGGUUUGUGUUGAACCUUUAUGCACCUGUAGAACAUAUAUUCUAGAGAAAACUAGUUAGUCCAUAUAUUUGUGUUGGGCAUUCAACCACCAAAAUUAAUUGUGGGAAAAGGUUAACCCUAUUUCCCUUUCAAUAUGUUUCAACUAAAAGUUGAGUCAACGUACAUUAAAGAUCUCAUACAAAACUUAAACUAUAUUGCACCAUAGUAUGAAAUAUAUGCCUAAUAUAUAUAAAAUAGGCAACAUAUGUACUAUAAAAACGAUUAUGAUGCUAACAUGCUAACAUCAGAUCUUGUAUAUCAGAUCUACCAUCUUCGGUUGAGUGUAUUCUCACUUGGGGAUGAUGGGCCCUCUUAUAGGAAAACCUUGGGGUUCUUUAGAAAAUAAUUUAAUAAAAGUGGCGUUACACUUAAUCAUAGAUGGUGAAUCUUAUGGACAAAAUUUGACAUUAACAUGCUAUCACCUUAAUCGUUUUUACGCUAGAUAUGUUACCAAUAAAAUAUGGACCAAGCUCACAUUAAAUCUAACAGGUUCUAUAAUAUGCAUCAGAUAUUAUCUCUCGAAUACUUCUUGCUUCACCAUAUUAUUGGACACACCACUACCGGAAUUUAGCUCUUUGCCGAGUACACGGAGCUUUGUCGAGUGCCUUUUGUCGGGCACUCGGUAAAGACUUCUUUACCGAGUGCCACCCUCGGCAAAGGAAGACUCUCGAUAACGACAACCUUUACCGAGGGUAGCACACUCGGCAUAGCCAGAGACUUGGCGAAGGGUGACGCGGCAAAGGACCGUCAGCAGCCGUCUAUAGCUGACGGUCGUUACCUUUGUCGAGUGCCAGGUGCUGACACUCGGCAAAGAUGGUACGUUGCCGAGUGUUGGGCCGGGUGACACUCGGCAAAGCAUACUUUCCCGAGUGCCUUGCUCGGACACUCGGCAAAGUUUGUUUUCAUUUUUUUCUUUUCCCAACCAAACUUUUUGUGGUUUGUUCCUACACCAUGUAGACCUACAUGUUCCAUUUUUGAAACAAUUAUAAAAGUGUUUGCUAUAAAUAUUAUAUUUUGUUCGUUUAAUUGUAUUUCCUCUGUUGUUCCCUCCAGUCGACACUGCUCAGUUCCAUACUCCCGUGAGUAUCAAAUUCUAGUUCUUCAUGAUAUAUAUUCAUCUGGUAUAACACAUGCAAUCUCUUCUCUAUGCAGGGACAAUCUGGGGUGGCAUCCAACAACCCUUAUGGAUCGCCCAGCCCAUCGCCGCACCAGUCCAGCCGCCCACCUCGAUGAGAUAUUAUCUUUGUUAGUGUUGUUAAUACUUUGUGAGAUAACUCGGUCUGAACUUGUUUGAUAUUGGUAAUGCUUUGUGAGAUACUUGAGACUUAUGUUCUUGAGUGUUGAAUACUUAUGUUUGUGUUUGAACAUGUUGGUAAUGCUUUGUGAGCACUUGUUUGAUUUACGGUCUUUGUGAGAU